This 78346-nucleotide long non-coding RNA is filed under the name Malus domestica (apple). RNAcentral describes it as "long non-coding RNA (MDOM_LNC005216)". The record is from RNAcentral. Lineage: Eukaryota; Viridiplantae; Streptophyta; Magnoliopsida; Rosales; Rosaceae.
AAACAUGUCCCCUGAGCUGGUGAACACCAAUUGUUUGCCUUGACUACCUGACACGGUCCCUGCGGUCGUUUUUGUGUCGAAGUAAGGGAAGUUGGCAUUAUCUGUUGUCAAGUUGACGGUGUUGAGCACGAGGUUUCCAUCACCUUGCAAGCGCAGCUGGAACCGCCCUUUUGUGUAGUUAGUCUCCGAUUGUCUACACGAAAGCGUCCCAUUUCUCUCAAUUGUCUGUCCAGGCAAAAUGGUGUCUGUAGGAUUGCUGAAGGUCUCCCACAAGCUCCGAGAGUUUUGGUGUUGAAGGACAAAGUUUCCGGUGUCAUUCAUGACCCCGUUCGCAACAGUCCCCAAGGUUAUUUCGGAUUUCCAUGUCUCUCCACCCUGAGGAUUGUUAAGAACUAGUCCACUGUUGGCAGUCAAGUUCAGAACUGAUCCCCUAGGUGCAACCAUGGGGUUGUUACCGUCAUAUGCAUACCAAACUACGGUUUUGUCUGGGAUUUUCGCAUACCAUAUCGAAAGCAAGAAACGAUCAUUGUUUCCGAGGGGCGAAAAUCCAAACGCGAAAUCACCGGAUGGAGAAAGCCAUGAUGAGGAGUCGCCUGUAGUUGCAGUUAGAGAACUCCCAACUGCUACUGUUCCAUUAUUUUGGGAAAUCACAGAAAUUGGUAGCAAAAACAAAGAGGAGAACAAAAGCAUCUCUACAGAAAGAGCCACUGCCAUUGCAAAAGCACCAAUUUUUCAACUUGGCUUGAUUGAUUAGCUAUAUUUCUUAGUAAAGCAUUGGUCCUGGUUAUAUCUUUAAGUAAAUGUGUGUGCACCACGUGCCUGUCAUUUUCUAAGUUUUUGCCUGGAAUUAAAGGCGUCUACACCAUUUUUUGAAGUCACACACAACAAUAUCUCCGGGCCUACAGAAUAAAUUCUCCGAAACUACACAUAUCACAAGAAUUUCACUUUCAAAAAAAAUAAUAUAAUGAAUAGUUCUAUAUAUAAUAACACCGAGAUUUUUUGUGAUAGAACUUAUUGUCUCUUUCAACUCUUUGUAAUGUUGCAAGUUGUAACAAUAUUGAUGUAAUUAGUAAUGAUCCGUGACUUGUCUCUCUCAAAUCUCUUUUCAUCCUACUCUCAUCCCUCGUCUGUUUUAUGAUUCUACUGACUUAAGCACUUAUAAAUGUUCCAAAUCAGCAAAGGACUUGUAACUUAAAUAAUUAAUAAUAUUUAUCAUUACACUCGAGAUUCAUGACUCACGCUGCAUGUGUCGGCCAUUCAAGUCCACCAGUCAAAAUUCAACAAUGGGGACCACAAAGAAAAUUUGAAAAAGUACAUGCAGAUUGAGGACGGAUACAUAGAAAAUCUGAAAACAGACCUUCAGAACCAAACAAAGACGACUAACUAAGCCUUUAAGUCAAGUGAUAAGAGACUUUUUUUUUUUUUUUUUUUGAAGAAUAUAAGAGACUUAUAUCUUCACAAAAACAAAGACGACUAAGUCUCUAUUUCUGUAUUCACAAAAAAAAAGUACUAACCGAAGUUUUUAAUGUAUGAUUACGUCGUUGGGGUAAGACACCCGAGGCCGAGUUGAGAUAAUCACAGAAUCGAGAUCCUCUUCGAAUGUCACAGUCUGGCGCAAACGGACUUAGAGACCCGAACCACUCAUUUUAAAUCAUACGACCUUCAUUAGCUUAUCCUAUUGACCCACAUCACAUAAGGGGUCCGAAUCUCUCUCUCCCCUCUCUUGACCGGUUUGGAUAUCUCGGUCUAUCGAUUUUGGAUUGCGAGAUUCAGAGAGAAUCUGAUUUCGGGUUUGAGGUCUGGUUCGAUGACCAUUUGAAGCCCGUUGAGGCGUGGCCCAUCUCAUCAGGUCGGGUCAGCCAUUUCGUACCAAGUUGAAUCCCAGGUCAGGCCAGCCAUUUCAUUAGCCUAAGAUGGACCUGACGGACGAUGCGCUUGGAUAUUGCUUACUGCGACCAAAUGGACUCAUGGGCUCAUUAGAUGAUGAGUCUGGACCUGGUGUGUGUAAAGGCCACCUCAGCUCGAUCCAUAUUCGAUCGAUACUACAGAGAAGGUGGAUAUGAGGUAAAGGUAGAGUAAGCUCCAAGUCAUGUGGAGGUCAGUCGAGAUUGAACACACGUUCAUAGAAUCAUAGUAUCAAAUUCAAGUCAAAAUUUUAACACUACGAAACCGAAAAGCAUGCAACUCCGAAAAGCAUUGUUUCAGUCCAACAACCCAAACUUCCUUAAAAAACUAAGACCAAAACGACGACAUUAGGAAACGGAAAAUCAUGCAACUCAGAAAACCAUUGCUCUAGUCCAAAUGAGGUUCUUCAAUGCCUCAAGCUUUUCUAAACACCAUAGCCUGAACCUUUUCCUUUGCGCCUUCUUUACUUCACCAGAAACGUUCUUAAUGAGCUCUUCUUCAAAUUUGGGACGAGCAGGCAUUAGGCUGUGCACAAUGCUGUAAAUGCUCCUAGCCCUUGCCACACCCUAGGCGCAUACGCGUGCAUGUCCGACCUGAGUUAUCUCAUUACGCGCGCAGUUUGAUCUUCCCGUAUUGACAUCCCUGCUGUCUAUUCUCCUGCGAAUCCUUCUACUGGUGACUUCAUCCGGGUCCAUUUUCUUGCUCCUCAGUGCAUGUUCAUCUGCUUUUCCAUGUUAAUAGAUAUAGGAAUCCUAUGAGAAACAACAUUUGACAAAACAGAACCUAAUAAUAACAACAAAACUUGACUUCAUCCUCAGUGCAUGUUCAUCUGCUUUUCCAUUUCAAAGCAGCUGACGGCAUGAUUCGUACUUGGACUCCAAGAUGUCUAGAUUAUAGGGAAACCAGCCCUCUAUCCAAAACACACAAAGAAGUGUAUUUUCCGUUUAUACCAAUUAAGUGUGUUGAAGCAUGUCCCACAUGGCCACAUCGGAAACUUGUCGAAGCUUAAAUCCUCUUAUAUAGAAAGUUGAACUACUAAUGCCAUGAGGCCUUAAUUUUGUAUAAAACCAUACUUAUUGAAUUGCACACGUGCUUAAGUUAAGGUCAGUAUUGAUGGCAAUUAGUAGUGGGCCGCUGGGCCGUCUUAAAAAAACUGGUACAAAGGGCAAUUUAUAGAAGCAGUGUUGAGAUAAGGGCAAUUCACCUGUUCCUUUUAGAAGGAUAUAUACGAAUGAAGCAAGGUUUAUCUACUCACCCGUAAUGCGGCUCAGCCCUUCAUAAAAAAGUGAAAGAUCAAAAUUACUUUUACAGCAAGAGCAAUACCAGAAGAUGUAAUCUAAAUUAUUUAUAUUUGGUUCCCUUGAAAUCCUUUUGACUGCUUCAACAUACUAUAUGCAAACAGAACCAGAACCAAGUCCAGACUCACUCGUAAGAGGAAGUCCACCGGGGGUGGGAUAGGUCGGCACCCAAUGGAAAAAACAGGCUGAGACUCAGCCAAUCCACUCCAGCCCGUGGAAUCGACUGGCACCCAGCCCAAGCCAGUCCACAGGCCGACCUAAAAUUGACAGACCUUGGGACCGGCUCAAAUGACAACUAGCUGACGCCAGCGUGGUGUCGAGGGCAAGGAGCCACGGAGGCAAGGCAAAGACCAACUUCCCCACCCCCACUAAGCUCCAUCUCGACGCCGUCAACAUCGCCAACAUGAACAAUGCCGCCAAAUUAGCUGCGACGACGAACAUCAGCAACAGCCACAGCAGCACCGUGGAGUCCUCCUCCUUGCCGUCUCCGCGCCCGCUCGACCUCACUCUCAAAACCCCCCUCUUGUCCACCGACAGCGGCUACUUCACUGCUGCGAGCGGCUUCCGCCUGCUUCCCGCUUCCCGGGAAUUAUCCUUCCGCGAAAGAUCCCCCCGCGAAACUUGUAGGUUCGACCACCCCCCCUCCCCCACGAAACAUCCCCAUAUUUUCCUUCCGGACCAAGUUUGUUCCUCUUUUAUGUAAGAAACAAAAUCCCUGCCCAGCUUUAUAAUAAUUAAUUUAUAAUAAAAAAUAAAUAUUUUUAUUAUUUUAUAAUAAAAAUAAUAUUUUAAUAAAAUUGACUAGGCUAUUUUUUGUUAGGGAUAGAGAUGCAUUGGCCUAUUACUAUUCAUUAGAGUCUAUCGGGAAUGGAUAAAUGGGUUGGGUGCUGGCAUAAAGUCCUUAGAGGUGGACUUGCUCUAAUAGGUCUCCUCAUCCACAACAAUAUCCCAGCUUUCCCUUGUCGUGGUUUUCCCAUAUUUGUGCACCUUACUGCAAAGAGAGAGCAAGUUAACUUGUCAAAGAAAAACCAGAACAAUAGAUGCCAAUGCAGUUCAGAAAGCUUAUUUCCCUUCAUACCCAUUUCCAAAGUGCUCCUCCCCACGUCCUUGACCAACCUAGACAUGAGACAACAAAAACAAAGUUACAUCAGAUUAAAUUAUUGAAAGAAAAAGGUUCACUUCUGUUGUAACAAAUUGACAUUAGAAUCAAGCAACCACGCUAUGAAAUACAAAGUUAAAAUGUAACAAUUUACUGUGUCUUAAAGGAAUCUGUGAAAUAAAAUAGUUAAACCCUAAACAACACCACUGCAAAUUAGGGGUGGGCGCGGUUCAGUUUUGAUUGAAACCAAAACCAAAACCGCAAGUUUUUGCGGUUUGGUUCGGUGCGGUUUUGAAGCCAAAACCAAAAUGAAACCAAACCGUUUGGUUCGGUUCGGUGCAAUUUCAAACGGUUUCAGUUUGGUUUUUAAGAAAAAAUGUACGAUUUGCAAUUUAACAUAUUAAAAAGCAUUUCCCAAUAGUAAUAGGAAAAUGACAUUUGUUAUGUAAACAAUUAGCAUGUUGCAUGUAGUUGUGAUGUUAAAACAUGUUUGUGCAACAAAAAGGUGUCCCUUACAAUAUUUUUCAUAAAACAAGUUGAAUAAAUUUGAAUUCAUUAAACGUGAGCGAAAUUUUCAUACUAGAAUAUGUGAUAUCAUGCUUCAAAUGAGUGGCCUUUAGUAGAUCAUUGUUCGACUCUUGAUAACAAGAUUAGUCCACCCUUGUACAUAUAUGUGUGUGUGAUGGUAUAAAAUAACAAAGGUCAUUCAAGUUAAUGAACAAAAGAGAGUGAUGAAUGAUGAUAUUCUAGUGUGGUUGAGUCCAUACUAAGUGUAUGGAUUUUAACAAACGACCAAUUAAAACAUGAAAUCUAAUAUGGACAUUUAAUUAAAUGUUUAUUAAUAUUUGCGGUGCGGUUUUCAAAAGCCAAAACCGAAACCAAACCGUUUUCUAUGUUGCGGUUCGGUUACAAAACCGAAACCGUUUCAAAACCGCAAAACCAAACCGUUCGGUGCGGUUCGAUUUGGUUCGUGUUUCGAUUUCGGUUUUCGGUUCUAAGUGCCCACCCCUACUGCAAAUAGCAUAAGAAAAUUAAAAUUAACCCUAAAGAAAUUGGGAGAGAAGAAUAUGAAAAGGGAAUACCUUUCGGCCCUUUGAGUUAUUGGAAAAAACCCAACAGAGCAAAAGAUAAGCAAAAAUACAGGAGGAAAGAAAAUAAAUUUUCAACUUGUAAGAUUCAUACGCGAACAUAUUGGCGGUCAAAAGCAUUUCGGAACUCAGAGCCAUCAAGCUUUUUGAUCUGCAUGGAAAUUAUUUAUGAAGUUUGAGAUUCUUAUAGACGCUUUAGACACAUCGACAUAUUGAAAAAGCAAUAUUCAACAACCUAGUACCCAUGCUCCAUGAAAGGUUACAGAAAAUAUGAAUGACUGGACUCUGGAGUGAGAAAGUAAAAGGACUUACCGCAUACUUCAUAUCUUCUAAGUUUGUGUAGUCUACAAUCCCUGUUGUGCCUACAAAAAAGGCAUAGGACAAAAGCUAAAUCAAUCGAAAUUCUGAUGUCUCAUGAUCUAGGUCGUAGGAUUAAACUACUGAAAUAACACUAUAUGAAAUAGCAGUGUAUAUCCCAAAAAAAGUCUGAAAUCUGGUUGAUAAUUGAAGAGUUCGAAGGGAUUUACCUUUGGAUUCUUUGGCUUUCAGAUGGAGUUUGCUUAUGUGUGGGGGAGAGAGGUGGAGCGGCUAGAGCUUGAGUAUGGAAGAGAUGAAAAAUGCAGAGAGCACCUGUUUUGGCUGAAGCAACUCACACACUCUGGACAAAUCUGCAAAUGUCUAAAAGGGGGAAAAUAUAAAAAGAAACCUUAACAACUGAAUUCAAAGAAACAUUAUUACAUUGUAAAUAACAUUUCACAAAAAAAAAAAAAAACUAAACUAAACUAAUUACACUCGGAUUGCAAUGCUAUCAUUUAAUAAUAGGAAUUCCCAUAACUUAGCAGAAGACCUGCAUCUGCAAAGGAUUCUUUAAAACCUAUUUUUUUUAACAACCCCGCACCUGCAACACAUCCAGGCAAGGUAAACCAAUAGCACCCUCAUGCUGAGCUCUUCUGUGCAUAUAUACCCCUUAUAAGUAAUCUUAAUCAAUCAGUUAUCAUGAAUAUAGUCAGUUAUCAUGAAUAUACAACUUAUAUUAAUUUUCUACAAUAUCCAACACACAAAUAUAACAGAAGAGGAAACUUUUACUUAAGCAGCACAAAAUGAUAUCCUCUGCAUUUCAUUCCAAAAUCCAUCACUCUUAUGUCUUUGCCUGCACAGUUUUUGCUCCAACAUAGCACACCAUGAUGAUAGCACUAUCAAUAAUUAAGACAUAAAGAAAGGCUAUCCUAGCUAGGUAUUAUCAUUGGAGUAAACCAACAACACCAUAAGUAAAGUAGCAGACCAAAUUUUUUCUAGAAUUGAUGUCUUAACAUGUUUAAGUAGCGAAAAGAUUACAACACAUUGGAUGUGUUAACACAUCCAUAAGCUAAUGACUCCCUCUCCAGUUUACCGCAUCAUUCUUAAUGUAUUCAACAAUGCAGCAGUAAUUAAAAGUCCUUGGAAAAUGCCAAGCUACUACAAUGACAUAACGAAAACUAUAUCUCACCAUACCCCCUUGUUGGCAUAGACAGCAUAUCCGUCCUUGUUCAGGGUGAAUCAUUAUCCUGAACUCAAUUAUCAUCAUCGUCGAGAAUGUCAAACUUUAAAUCAACCAUGCAUGGAACAAAACCUAGAAAUUAAACAAUUAUCAAAGCUUAUGAAGAAUGCUAAACCCAACUAAUUCGAAACAUAAAGUAACCCAAAAGAGAGAAAACUUAUAAAUUUUACAUAAAUUAUAAUCCUUAACAGAAGGAUGGAACAAAGCAUGUUCAUUCUUGAGAAUAGGUGUAAUUUUGCACAUUGCAUAUAUGUACAUUAAGGACGGUGGUAACAUACCUUGUAAUUUGUACAAAUUAGGAUUUUCAUUCAAAGAACCAUAAUAUACACAAUUACAAAAACAGUGAUACAAACUUGUUCUUCUCUUAAGGAAAUUACUCACAGUUGAAAUUCUGAAUGGACAAAGUUUUGGCAUCCCUUUCCGACUAUAUUUGAUUAACCUUUUUUUAAUCCAAUGAGUGCCUUCAUGAGAGAGAGAGAGAGAGAGAGAGAGAGAGAGAGAGAGAGAGAGGAAUAUUCGGUGAAAAGUAUUGCCAAAUCACACAGAGAUCAAAAUCUUGAAUAUAUAUGUUUAACCAUAUCAAAGUGAGUGUGUGAAAGGGUGUAGUCUGCAGAAAGGGCAACAUUUUCACUGCUAGAAAGUUGGAAACUAAACUUUUACACAGAUAUUGGAUUUUAUUAAUUCCCUCCGCGAAUUGAAAAGCAAAUUGUUCGAGUAAUGCAGGUAAAUUCGAUAUACAUAUGCGUUGAUCUAUGUAAGACGGUUAUAAGUUAUAACUGUAUCGUCUUAACACAAAAAAUGAUCAUAAAUGUAAGUGUCUGUAUUAUGGAAGUAAGGGACUUGCAGCAAUUGCUAUGAGCUCUAACAGCAGUCACUCCAAGUACCCUAUUAUGGAAGUAAGGGACUUAGUAAGGGACUUACAUCAAUUGCUAUGAGCUCUACCAGCAGUCUCUCAAAGUGGUGCAAGGGCUAAAAUUAUAAAUAAAAAGUAAUUUAAACAAUUUAACUUAAUAAAAUAUUGUAAUUUAAACAAUGCCUAUAUAUUCAAACAUCCCAAAACAGGAAUGAACUUCCAGAAAACAUGCGCAUGAAAAUAAACGGCAUUACUCACCCAUUGAGUUGGACCAUCAAACUAGAGCGUAAGAAGGAUCAUCAUGUACCUAUGAAACCCAAAGGAAAAUUUUAGCAACCCCAAAGCUUGUAUGCAAGCGUGAAUAAGUAUGCAUGUAUGAAUCUAUUCAUAGUGAAGAAGGCUACCUUAAGAAAUAUUUGCAUCUGCAGCUUCAUAUGGCCAUACAACAAAAAGCACCGCAUAUGAUAACAAACCCCAGCUGCACCACAAAAGGAAUAUGAUCUUCCUCUCAACUUGUAUUUGUAGUUGUUACUGUAACAUCUGCAGACAGCAUACAUAAGCACUGAUUCGAUAAUUCUAAAGGGAAAAAAGUCCUUAUUCGAUAAUGCACCAAAUCCUAUCCAAAAACCAAGUGGGUGCCAUAUCCCUAGAUUAACAGAGCAUCUUUCUUUGUUCCAAAACAAAUUGCAAUUGGCUUUGGUAAAGUAGAAAGAUUACCAGAUACCGACUCUGUUCCAUUAUUCGACUGUCCUUUUAGUUCUGUCUCUCAACAUGGGAAAUACAAUAAGACAGUAAAAACAAAAGUUAGUGAUGCUAUUACAUAGUGAAAGAAAAUAAGACAUUCACAUAUUGAUAGCUAUUUACUGUCCUUUCUCAUCAUAAUCUUGGCCCCUAUAUAUACAUAUAUUGAAUUUUGAAAGCAAUGAGAGAAAUAUACCUUUGGGGCGUCACCGCCAGAAGGGUGAGUGAGGGAUCUAAGAUGUUUAAGAGCAGGAAUUUUUAAGUAAUUUGUGUGAAAAAGUUGAAGAGCUUCGAACAUAGUGGAGUGGGUUGGCCUGGGCUAAAAUAAAGAGGAUGAACUCUAGAAAGUAGAAAAUGUUGUUGUUCAACCAAACUCAAAAGUAAAGAAACCAUAUGAUUAACAUAUAAAUAAGUUUUAUAUACCAAUGUUUACAUGUACGUUGUUUGAGAAGGUAAAUUAGCAACAUAUACAGUGAUCAAAAGAUUAACAGCAAUAAACUGCUCAUUAUUCGAAAUAUACAAGAAAGUUGUCAUUCACAUGAUCCAAAUGGCAGAGGACAAAACAGAAGGAAGCAAAUAUUAUAGCAGCAUAAGUUGAAUAAUUGCAGCAAGUAAACAAAUAGAAAGGCUAGCUAGAUUACACAAUCCAGUUCUAGGUCGGACUAACCAUGUUAGCCAUCCGCCCACCACCAGCACCGUCGGCUUCUUAUUAAAAAUGUAGAAUAGAAGACUAAAAAAUUGGAAAUGAAAGCAGGUAACAUUGAGUUUUAAUAACCAAAAAGGGACACUGUUUAAGCAGCUCCACAACAGCAAUAAUACUUGGAUGAUGACCUGCAAAAACAGAAAAGAAAACACAAAUUAAACUAAAAAAAUAUAAAAUUUAACACUAAUCCAAGGAUUAAAUAUCAAAUAUAAAUUCAUUAGGAUUGGGACCUUUGCAUUGAGGAAUAUCUACUACAUUAUGAGUUCCCUCUUGAUAAAGCCCAAUCAGGGGGUUUUUCGAUGAGCCAAGAACGGCUAACUUUGCGUGACACCGCCAUCCCCACUAACACCAAACCCAGAUAAUAUCAAGAUCAAAACUAACCAAUACCAGAAAGAUUUUUUUAUUUAAAUUUUAAGAAAAGACCUAAACUUUACGAAAUUAAGGGGGAAAACAAAGUUAAGUAAAGCACCAAUUUGCAACUGUCAAAAGUGAAAUAUGAGACUCCAACUGUCUAGAAGAACUCCGUGGCCUCAUCGACGAUGACCGGAUGGUGGAGAUUGAACUGGUGCGUACACCCGAAACACCUGAUUAUACACCGAACAGAGAACAAAAUUUAAAUCAAGUCGAACAAUAAUUAUGAGAAAAUAAACUAAAAGGGAUUUGAGCUGAGAGUUACGAUUCGAAGUGCGGGCAAUGGAGGGUGCAGGUUAGCGGCGGCAGAGAAGGGGUUGAGCUUGGGUUCAGGUCCGUUUUAGGAGGUGGAGGCUCUUGAUAGAAGAUUGGCAUUGGAGUCGUUUUACAAAUCAGUUUCUUCCUGAACAUCCUAAUGUCAGCUUCUAGAGUUUCCUGUAAAAGAACAGACAACAUUCAUAAUAAGAAAAUCUCUCUAUGCAAUCGCAGAAAUCCCUCGGGUUUCAGGAAGCAAAUGGAAAAUGAAAUGCUUUUCUCCCGUAUCUCUCUCUCUCACCUCUGUCCCAUCUCUCUGUCUCCAAAUCGCAGAAAAGAAACCCUAAACAAAUCCCUGAAAUCCCUCGCCUAAAUCCUCCUACAUUUCUCUCGGACAACCCCCUCUUUCUCUUUGCAAACCCUAAACCAAAUCUCCUAAAUCCUAUCUCAGGCACCACACAUACAGCCAAGAAGCCAAGAUAUUAAAGCAAUCUCUAUAUAAUACUUUGGAACAAUGAAGAAAAAUGGUACUUACUUGUUCCUUGUCCAAAACAGUUGGUGCCGCCGCACAUUGUUAUCAAUUGUGGGUUGAUCAAAUCCUUCAUGGCUUAGACUGCAUGAAGAAUUAGAAACUAAAAGAUGAAUAUAUGCCGUAAAUCAUCAUAUAAAUGUAACUGCAUUUAAAAAAAGAAGGGAAUGACAAAAUUGAAUUCUAUUUCAUCAGUAUGUAACUGCAUGAAAAGUUACUUUGAAUGAAGACUCGAUCAAUUUCCCCAAAGUCAUUGUUAACUGAAAAUCAAUAUCAAACCCAUAAAUACCACAUUGAAUUUGACCAAGUUAAAGGAUAAAGGCAGUCGCAUCAUCGUAUUACUCUUUGGGAAGAUCUUCUAAUAAUGGUUCUUCCUUUUUCUUGCUCUUCCUCAGAACUGCCAUAAAAACCCCAGAGAAGCAUACAAAUUCAGAAAAGAAAAGGUUCAAAACUGCCAUAAAAAAAAUCCAGAAAGCAUACAAAUUUAUCAGAAAGAAAAGUUCAAAUUACAAAUACCAAAUGAUGUGAGUGAGUAGUGAGAGGUUGUGUUAGGCACCUGAAACACAUUUUGGUUUCAAUUGAAAGGGCCAGAGACAACAUCCACAUUCUUUUUUCUUGGGUGAACUAACCAAAUCAUAUUAUAUACUAAAAUGACAUAAAAAAUCAUUCACAAACUCACAACAAAAUAGAACAAAAAGAUUCACAAAAGAUUUGGGAGUUGAGACGCUAACAAAAACAUUUCUUUUCUAAACAAAUACACAACCGCUAAUCUGGGUUUGGUCAAUUUAACUAAAACGGUGCGCUAUUUUGCAUCUAAAUAUAGUAUAUCGCUUAAAUAAAAUUAAUAAAAAAUACACAUCCAAAGCUUUUAGUCCAAAGCUAGAAUUAGGAAUAACUGAGGAAGUUAAUGAAGGCAAAGCAGAGGGUAGGAUGCAGAACAUACCAAGAGACCAGUAGGCCAUCGGGGCCGGUCUGCCGAUGAACGCUGUGUACUGGUCGACAACGCCCAACGGAGUCGGCGCAGAAAAAAAGUAAAAGUCGAAACCACCCCCAAUGACUUUGUAGGUGAGAGAAGUCCCUAUGUAGAACACAUUCAUGCCAUUGCUGUUGAGCAGCAGAACGCAGUGCGCGUAAGCCUCGUUGCCCACAUUCCGGAGAUCCAUGUAAACUGGGUGGGACCCGUACAAAUCAGUGUUGAGAUUGAUCGCCGAGAAGUCAGUGGUGAAGAUGAUGUAUGGAUCGUUCGGGUAGAGCUUGAUCCCGUGCGGCUGAGAGUUCUCUUCGAGGCCGUACAAGGAGGAGUCUUUCGGCACUCGGGUGGAUAUCUUGAUGUCUGGUCCUUAAACACCAGUACUAGUCCAAUAAACCACUCCGCUUUUAUUGAUUUUCAAUUCAUGUUCAUUCGGGUCCCAAACAAGACUGAACGGCCCCGGAGCCGGGUUGUAGGUAUCUACAUAUGAUAUAAGUGCCCAGACGUGGCCAGCACUGCGGUUGACACCUAACUUCAUACCCGGUAAAAAUGUGUCUCCAGGAUAAUCACUUCAGCAGAUCGAGGGUGAUUUGAGGUGUUUUCCCGCUGAAUUGGACUUCGACCCAGGUAUGAAAGUUGUUCCUCUUAUCGAGAUCUUCAUUCAUGUAAAAUUUGGGAAUUUUAGAAUUGUUGAAUUCUUCGGCGAGUCAGGGCUACCAGCCGCCACGUGCUUCGGCGCGUGGCCCUUUGGCCGCCGUCCCAUGGCGGCUCGUGCGGUGAUGUAUGCAGGAAAACCUAAGGUUCCUCCUUAGGUUUUUCGAUGUACCAAACCCGAAUCCGCCGUCCUUUUUCCAAAAUUCUAACGUUUUCAUAGAGUUUUAUUAAACGACCUUUAAUUGUGUUUAGGUGCAUCGGUGGAAGUGACCUCAUUCUUGAUGGUUCGAGCGGCUUUCGGGCAAUGGAAAACUUGUGAGUAGACCCCUUCUAAACUUAUAUAUUGUUAUAAAAUAUUAGCCUAGCAUGCAUUCCAUAUUUCAUGAUUUGAAUAUGAUUUAUAAUAUGCUUUAUGGACUUUUAAUUAUGGUUUACGAAAUAGUUUGAUUUAUCGAAAUUACGUUUUAUUAGGUAUUGAAUUAUUGGAUUUGCAUAUAUGGAUUUCUAUGGUUUUCAAAUACGAUUUAUAUUACGGUUUUACGAACAUGAAUUAUUUUAUGGAUUUCAUGAAUACAAUUUAUCUUGGAUUUAUGAGAUGAGACUUUGAGCUAGUGAGCUCCGGGUUUGAUAUGAGUUUUGAGAUAUGUUUUUGGUACUUAUCUAGUGGGUUAUCAUACAGCACAUCCGCACACCACGGGUAUAGAUGUGUAUGGCCAUAGGACACAGAUGAUGAGGAGGAGUAAGAUAUGAUAUAUUAUAUACCCCCAGUUCACUAUCGAAAGCAGUGUCAGAUAACCUCACUAGCCAUGGCUAGUGUCGGUAUGGAUGUUAUGCUAUUUCAUACAGCUUCACCUUCGGGUGAUAGACAGGUUAUUUAGCUUCACCGUCGGGGUGAUGGACAUGUACUACCUUCGGCCAACUAUGAUAGCCUUAGUUGAGCACUUCACUGACAAGAUUUACAAAUUUGCCUUCGGGCAACGACAUUUUCAUUAUCAAGCACUGGAUUUUACAUAUCUACCUUCUAAAUGGAUUUUCAUGGCAUGCUAGGGUUUUUCAUAAAGCCUAUAUGUAGUAUUAUAUAUGUUUUCAAAAUAAGGGGUUAUUAUGUUCAUAAAUAAAAUGUUUUCCUAUUAUUAGUAUUAUUAAUAUAAACUUUGGUCCACUCACCUUUUCAGUUUUUGCGCCUCCUCAGGAGUUAGGAUCGAGGCACAUGAUCCCGGCAUCAUGGCAUGUUGAUAUAGGUAUCCUUGAAUCUUCUCAGUGUAGGUAUCAUUCCCUUAUUCAUAUCUUUUUAUAGUGAUUCUUCCCUAUUAUUUCUAAUUAGUUGUAUGCUCUAAACACAUUCCUGCUUUGGUAAUCGUUAUAACUACUUAUCUUGUAAUUGUUUGCAUGUUUAAAAUGGUUUUGUCACCCUUGGGCGUGGGCUAGCACGUGCCUACCCUGGUAUGUUGGGAUAUCGGGGUUGGGGCGUGUCAAAGAUAGAGAGUGAAUUUCUAGCAGAUUCAAUGGUUGUCUACAUUUUAAAAAGAGCUUGCCGAAAAGAUUGAUUCAGAUGAAAUAACAAAGGAUUUCAAUUCCAUUAAGGAUUGAAGGGCACAACUUGAAUAGGUAUUUUUCUUUUUAUUUGUUAGGUUGUUAUGACAAGAUUGACGAUGUAUGUUUCUUUAUAUUGUAAGUUGCAACUUUAAAGGUUUUCUUUGUUAAAUCUAGUUGAAACUUGAUUCAUUUAGAGUUAAAUUUCUUACUUCAAAUUGUUGCUUUUAGGCUUAUUAUUGUGUAACUUUAUGCAAGCAACAAAAAAUUUUAACCAUUUGAUUUUGUACUAAUAAUUUUAGCUUAGCAUGCCACCAAAUAAUUCAUGGCUCCGCUAUUGAAAUCUUAGCAUGUGCAAUUUCAAAGUCUCGGUUGCCAAGUCUCCCCAGGCUGUUCAGCACCCAUUCUGAAUCUUGAUCGAGAUCUAGAGCAGUGCAAGUCAAGGAGUCUUCAUUCUCAUUUGAAACAAUGCUAAAAUUAUACCUCAGCUUGGACUCCUUGGGCAAAAUAUACCCAAAUGUAUUAGUACUACUUGUGGAUACACCACUAGUCCAAAAAAAUCACCUCUCCUUUCUUAAUCUUCAAUUGGUGAGGGUCCCAAUCAAGCGUGAAAGGCCCCGGCGCACGGUUGGCUUUAGUUUCCCAUGAUGAAAUCCACGAAACAUGGCCGUUUGUACGGUUGACACCCAAUUUCAUGCCCGGUAAAAAGGUGUCAACUGGUAAUCAAAGCUUUACGUUCACUUCUUCUUGUACAAAAUUUCCCGAAUCCAAAAGGAUAGCCACAACAGUAGCAAUACUGUUACUUAUGUUGGUAGACCUAGUAGUUUGUGGAGCUGAGAAAAACGCAAUUGGAUUAGGAUCCCCCCCGCAUAAUUUUCAAGGUUUUAUUCCUGUCCAAGGCAAGAGUGCGUACAAAAUAGGGGCUUUACGGUUGCAAAUCCAAGCAAUGUUGCCAUCGGCCUUGUUGCUCUGGAUAGAUACGUAGCUGGUGCUUUUGGAACUGUCGUCGUGUACACAGGAACUGAAACUGAACUUCUCCGAUGCAGAGACCAAAGAAUUUGAGGAGUUGAGAGUGUCUCCUGCUGGUUUCAGUGUGUCCCUUGCAGGUCCACAGUCAGCAUGCAAAAAUGAUUAAGUUGAUUAUUGCCAUGAUUAAUUAAUGACCAUAACAUGAAGUUUAAUUUCUCCAUAUGAUGAGGAAGAAAGACAUGAAAUCCAUCACCAGAACAUGAUUAAGAAUUUAAUCAAGCAACGCGUCUCAGUUAAACCAUUACAAUCUUUGUACAAGGCAUUUAUAAAUUAAAAAAAAAGGGAAUAAAGUAAUAAUUACAAGUUUUACACAAGUGACCAUUUAUUACAAUGGUGGAAAGGUGUUAAGCUUUUGCAUGACGGUGUGAGUUCGAACCUCGUCGGUAGUUAAUCUACGAACCCCGUCGGUAGUUAAUUUAACUUCUAAUCUAAUAAAAUCUAUUUUUUGACCAAAAAAAAAAUAAUUACAAGUUUUACUAAAAAUUUAGGGGUGUGAUAUCCACACACCCCUUUUUACUUCUCUUACACCUUUUUUAUUUUCGACCGUCGGAUAUGAUGAAUUGAAGAAAAUCAACGGACAAAAAUUAACAAGGAAUGUGUGAGAAGUAAAAAGGGGUGUGUGGAUAGCACACCCCAAAAUUUAUCGGAAGACUUGAUCACCCAUUUGUAUGCUGACAACGGUGACUAGAUUCACAACCUCUUUCCCACGUAAAUCACAUCAUCCAAUUUUAUUUUUCUUACAACAUAUCACGUAUCUGUCAUAUGCAAGACUUUUUUUUUUUGUUUAACAUGAAAACGAAGACUUUUUUGGAAUAUGGAGAGUGAAAUUGCAGCGGAAGCAUCCUAGAUUUUUGAUCGAAUAUUGAGUUUGGUUUCAUGCCAGACUUCCUGGAUCAAACACACCCUAAAAAAAUAUAUAAAAAACCAAUAAGGUCAUGUGAUACGACAUCAUUUCAAGAGGAAAGGUACAAACAAUCUAGUUUCUAUACUAGGAAGAUUCACUCGAACAAAUUCUUGGAAACUAUGACUCAAACAAAAUUCUAGGAAUUCAGUAUUUUUAACAAAUGAUAAGCGUUUAAGAUAUAUUCUUUAUAAUAUUAGAGAAAUCGAACGGUUGAUCUAUAACUCGCAAAGUGGUUGUAGCUCAAGUAAUUUUACUCCCCAAUUUUACAUAAAACAUAAAAUAAAAACAAAUCCUAAUUUACAUGGUAAUUUUUUUUCAUAGCUAGGGACAACUUCGACUAUGGUAAUGCAAUUAAUAUACACUAGUUUUGGAUGGAGAAGUUUCAAGAUUGAGUAUGGGAUGGGGAGGGGCGAGAGACUUGGAUGGAGAGGUGAGGUUUUAUGAGUUAAACAGUGAUGCAAGGAUGUAUUACUUAAAACUUUAGAGACCGUAUGUUGGGCUAUAUAUAAUAUACGUUACAUGGAUAAUUGUUUAACUCAUAAACGUUUUGAGUGUUUCUAACAUAUGCUUAUCAAAAGCCUUCUCGUUCCAUCAAACAAUACGAAAAUUUUCAAUUGAAUGAAAGACAUACUAUUUUAUAUAUCACAGUACUUCAUGGAUCAUCAUCAUCACAUAUCCUUAAUUCAAAGGUAAUAAAUGAGCAUCUAGUUUUAUUUUAAUUUUAUUUUAUAUAGGGACUACAGAAGCAAGCACCCUCUGUAAAUUAAACUCUAAAACUUCUCAAGUAUCUUGAAAGGUGCCAAAAGCCAUCAGCCAACUCCAGUUGAUGCAUAACCUCCUACAUUUACAAAAACAGCGUCGCCGUUAAUUUAUUGACUUCUUCCCAGGACACAUACCAAUUUGCGAAAGUGGUUUGACUGAUGCUAUAAUUAGUCGAGUAAAGUACAGUCUUUUCAAUUAAGCAGAUGCAAAACACUUAGUUGAUGCACUACAAAUAUGAUUUUUACCUUUAAUUAACGCGCUUCAAAAUCAGAACUGGACUUGUAGUUUGCUGAAGCAACAGUUUCAAGUUGCUGAUUCCCACUUAUACCAGCCUCCACCGUCCUCCUUCCAACAAAAAAUGCUGGCUUUGUUGGUGAUGCUAAUGGAAAGCUUUCAUUUGUCAACAUAGAUAUGACAUCUGACAUGGUAGGGCGAUCUGCUGCAUUUUCUUCUACGCAAAGCAGACCGACAUGGAUGCAUCUUAACAGUUGCUCUUUAAUAAACGAAUUUCCUAAUGUUGGAUCCGUUAAUUCUAGCCCUGCACCUUUUUUCCAUAACUCCCAUGCCUGAAGAACAAGGAUUGCAUUUCAUUCUAAAGAAGAAAAAUAUGAUUAUAAAUUUUAAGAGAGAGAUUUGUUUGUCAUACAUAUCCUACUAAAUUGAGUGCGCGAUCGUCAUUGUAAAAGCUGUUGUUUUUCCUUCCACUUAUGAUUUCAAGCAUCAAUACCCCGAAACUGUAGACAUCAGACUUUACAGAAAUAAUUCCCCCCACGGACUCUGGAGGCAUGUAACCACUACACCAAAUGAAAAAGAAAAAUAGUCAGUAUACUUAUCUGGAAAAAUGCGUGUUUAGCAGUCAAAAGGGGAGGACCACGUCAAUAUGAUGCAGAAAUACUUACAGUGUCCCCGCAACCUUUCUAGUGUUUGCUUCCAAUUCAUUUUGGGUGAAAAUCCUUGCCAUACCAAAAUCUGAAAUUUUUGGGUUCAUGUUUUCAUCAAGUAGUAUGUUACUAGCUUUUACAUCUCUAUGAAUUACUUUCUUUCUUGAGUAUUUGUGCAGAUAAAGCAACCCUUGAGCAAUUCCUUCGAGAAUGCUAAAACGCUUCUUCCAAUCUAGUAGUAGACCUCUGAUUGGAUCUGUCCAAUAUGUUGAGUUAAGUAGGACUAAUAUUAAUUAAUAGUAGUACUCUAUGAACUUUGACAGUAAAAUAAAAAUCAGAUAGUAAAUUUAACAAAUGAAAUCAAGUAUCUUGGUUCCUCACCAAAUAAAAAGUGGUCCAAACUUUUGUUCUGCAGAUACUCAUAUAUCAACAUCAUUUCUUCACCAUGAAUGCAAAAUCCGAAAAGGUGAACCAGGUUUGUAUGUUGGAGUUCAUAUAUAAGUAUCAGUUCAUUCUUGAAUUCUGAUGUUCCUUGCCCUGAACAUUUCGAAAGCCUCUUCACAGCUAUUUCUUGUCCCGUUGCCAAUUUCCCCUGAAUUGAUAAUCCAUAUCAUGCUUUUGCUGUCAUUUUUAGGCAAUUGAAGCUAAUUCCAUUUUUUUUUUCUUACAGCUUUUGAAUUAGAAGCAGAAAUUUUUGUUUUUUCAAAAUGUUACCUUAUAAACCGGUCCAAACCCUCCUUGUCCUAGCUUGUUUUCUUCAGCAAAGUUUCUUGUGGCAGCCACGAUGGAUGAAUAGCUAAAAACGCUAAAAUCAUGAUGUCGCUUAGAUUCAUGAAGAUAAGCAUUUCGUUCUCAAGCGUUGUCCGGUUCUCACCUAUACAGAUCAAUUAUAAGAAAUUAAAGUUUCAAUGGAGACAACAAUUGUCAAAGAUGUGAUUAAUAAUCCUGUAUUACUGGUGCACAUGAUUUAAAGAAAUAUACCAGCUGAUGCAAGGGCUGAUCUUCUUCGUCGGAGUAGAUAGUACGCGGUGCAAAGCACUAGAGCAGCAGCUAUAGAAAUGCCAAUCCAAACCCAUUUAUCUGCUGCAUCAUAAACAAUUAGCUAGCAACAUAUGCAAUCAGUGUAACACACACGGACAUGUACGCAUUAAUUGUCUUCAAUUUUUGGAUGAACUAGGUCUUGCAGGUUUCUUCCGGAAAACGGAAAAAUUCGAGACAGAGAGCAGAACUUAAGACAACAAUAACAAAGAUAGAGGUACCUAAUAAUACUGAUUCCACGCGUGUCACAGAUUUCCGGCUCAAAUCGGGUUUGCAGCCUCGGUAUAUAUCCUUCGGAUCAAGAAAAGAAAACCCUUUUGGGCAUUCGCAGGUUGGCCUUUUAUCUGGUUUGAGCAUACAGGUACUGUUGUAACCGCAAACACCAACGCCCAGUCGUAGGCAAAUAUCAUCCGGCAUAUACACCAGAGGACUAAUCCAACUUGCAUUUCCCGUGAAGUUUUUCUGGUGAGAAUAUAAAGCGAAAAUCCCAUCAAAAUCAAGAGUUGCCCUUAUGUAGUUGUCCCUCACCGACACUCCCUCUGUCCCCUUAAGAGGGACUCUUCCAUCAUUUUCUCUUAGAACAAACAUGUCCCCUGAGCUGCUGAACACCAAUCGUUUGCCUUGACUACCUGGCACGUUCCCUGACGUGGUCUUCGUGGAGAAGUAAGGGAUGUUGGCAUUAUCUGUUGUGACGGAAAUGAGCACGAGGUUUCCAUCACCUUGCAAGCUCAGCCGGAACCGCCCUUUUGUGUAGUUAGUCUCCGAUUGUCUACACGAAAGCGUCCCGUUUCUCUCAAUUGUCUGUCCAGGCAAAACGGUGUCUGUAGGAUUGCUGAAGGUCUCCCACAAGCUCCCCGAGUUUUGGUGUUGAAGGACGAAGUUUCCGGUGUCAUUCAUGACCCCGUUCGCAACAGUCCCCAAGGUUAUUUCGGAUUUCCAUAUCUCUCCACCCUGAGGAUUGUUAAGAACUAGUCCACUGUUGGCAGUCAAGUUCAGAACUGAUCCCCUAGGUGCAACCAUGGGGUUGUUACCGUCAUAUGCAUACCAAAACUACGGUUUUGUCUGGGAUUUUCGCAUACCAUAUCGAAAGCAAGAAACGAUCAUUGUUUCCGAGGGGCGAAAAUCCAAACGCGAAAUCACCGGAAGGAGAAAGCCAUGAUGAGGAGUCGCCUGUAGUUGCAGUUAGAGAACUCCCAACUGCUACUCUUCCAUUAUUUUGGGAAAUCACAGAAAUUGGUAGCAAAAACAAAGAGGAGAACAAAAGCAUCUCUACAGAAAGAGCCACUGCCAUUGCAAAAGCACCAAUUUUUCAACUUGGCUUGAUUGAUUAGCUAUAUUUCUUAGUAAAGCAUUGGUCCUUGUUAUAUCUUUAAGUAAAUGCGUGUGCACCAUGUGCCUGUCAUUUUCUAAGUUUUUGCCUGGAAUUAAAGGCGUCUACACCAUUUUUUGAAGUCACACACAACAAUAUCUCCGGGCCUACAGAAUAAAUUCUCCGAACCUACACAUAUCACAAGAAUUUCACUUUGAAAAAAAAAAUAUAAUGAAUAGUUCUAUAUAUAAUGACACCGAGACUUUUUGUGAUUGAAUUUAUUCUCUCUCAACUCCUUUGUAAUGUUGCAAGUUGGAGCAAUAUUGACGUAAUUAGCAAUGGUCCGCUGACUUGUCUCUCUCAAAUCUCUUAUCAUCCUACUCUCAUCCCUCGUCUGUUUUAUGAUUCUACUUACUUAAGCACUUAUAAAUGUUCCAAAUCAGCAAAGGACUUGUAACUUAAAUAAUUAAUAAUAUUUAUCACUACACUCGAGAUUCUAGGUUCCAAAAUAUAAUAUAUAAUAUAUAUGAAUGUUUCCGAACCAAAAGGACAAGUAAAUACGAGCAUGACUCACGCUGCAUGGGUCGGCCAUUCAAGUCCACCAGUCAAAAUUCAACAAUGGGGCCCACAAAGAAAAUUUGAAAAAGUACAUGCAGAUUGGGGACGGAUACAAAGAAAAUCUGAAAACAGACCUCCAGAACCAAACAAAGACGACUAAGCCUUUAAGUCAAGUGACAAGAGACUUAUAUCUUCACAAAAACAAAGACGACUAAGUCUCAAUUUCUGUAUUCACAAAAAAAAAAGUACUAACUGAAGUUUUUAAUGUAUGAUUACGUCGUUGGGGUAAAACACCCGAUGCCGAGUUGAGAUAAUCACAGGGUUGGGGAAUCAAGAACCUCUUCGAAUGUCACAAUCUAGCGCAAACGGAUGUAGAGACUCAAACCACUUAUUUUAAAUCAUACGGCCUUCAUUAGCCUAUCCUAUUGACCCACAUGGUCCAAAUCUGUCUCUCCCCUCUCUUGAACGGUUUGGAUAUCUCGAUUUGUCGAUUUUGGAUUGCGAGAUUCAAAGAGAAUCUGAUUUCAUGUUUGAGGUGAGGUUUGACGACCAUUUGAAGCCCGUUGAGGCGUGGCCCAUCUCAUCAGGUCGGGUCAGCCAUUUCGUACCAGGUUGGAUCCCAGGUCAGGCCAACCAUUUCAUUAGCCUAAGAUGGACCUGACAGACGAGGCGCUUGGAUAUUGCCUACCGCGACCAAAUGGACCCAUGGACUCAUUAGAUGAUGAGUCUGGACCCUGGUGUGUGUAAAGCCCACCUCAGCUCGAUCCAUAUUCGAUCGAUACUACAAAGAAGGUGGAUAUGAGGUAAAGGUAGAGUAAGCUCCAAGUCAUGUGGAGGUCAGUCGAGAUUGAACACACGUUCAUAGAAUCAUAGUAUCAAAUUCAAGUCCAAAUUUUAACACUACGAAACCGAAAAGCAUUGUUUCAGUCCAACAACCCAAACUUCCUUAAAAAAACUAAGACAAAAACGACGACACUAGGAAACGGAAAAACAUGCAACUCAGAAAACCAUUACUCUAGUCCAAAUGAGGUUCCUCAAUGCCUCAAGCUUUUAUAAAACACCAUAGCCUGAACCUUUUCCUUUGCGCCUUCUUUGCUUCACCAGAAACGUUCUUAAUGAGCUCCUCUUCAAAUUUGGGACGAGCAGGCAUUAGGCUGUGCACAAUGCUGUAAACGCCCCUAGCCCUUGCCACACCCUAGGUGCGUACGCGUGCAUGUCCGACCUGAGUUAUCUUAUUACGCGCGCAGUUUGAUCUUCCCGUAUUGACAUCCCUGCUGUCUAUUCUCCUGCGAAUCCUUCUGCUGGUGACUUCAUCCGAGUCCAUUUUCUUGCUCCUCAGUGCAUGUUCAUCUGCUUUUCCCUGUUAAUAAAUAUAGGAAUCCCAUAACAAACAGCAUUUGACAAAACAGAACGUAAUAAUAACAACAAAACUUGACUCCAUCCUCAGUGCAUGUUCAUCUGCUUUUCCACUUCAAAGCAGCUGACGGCACGAUUCGUACUUGGACUCCAAAAUGUCUAGAUUAUGGAGAAACCAGCCUUCUAUCCAAAACACACAAAGAAGUGUAUUUUCCGUUUAUACCAAUUAAGUGUGUUGAAGCAUGUCCCACAUGGCCACAUAGGAAACUUGUUGAGGUUUAAAUCCUCUUAUAUAGAAAGUUCGACUACUAAUUGCCUUGAGGCCUUAAUUCUGUAUAAAACCAUACCUAUUGAAUUGCACACGUGCUUAAGUUAAGGUCAGUAUUGAUGGUAAUUAGUAGUGGGCUGCUGGGCCGUCUUAAAAAAACUGGUACAAAGGGCAAUUUAUAGAAGCAGUGUUGAGAUAAGGGCAAUUCAUCUGUUCUUUUUAGAAGGAUAUAUAUGAAUGAAGCAAGGUUUAUCUGCUAAUGCGGCUCAGCCCUUUAUCAAAAAGUGAAAGAUCAAAAUUACUUUUACAGCAAGAGCAAUACCAGAAGAUGUAAUCUAAAUUAUUUAUAUUUGGUUCCCUUGAAAUCCUUUUGACUGCUUCAACAUACUAUAUGCAGACAGAACCAGAACCAAGUCCAGACUCACUCGUAAUAGGUCUCCUCAUCCACAACAAUAUCCCAGCUUUCCCUUGUCGUGGUUUUCCCAUAUUUGUGCACCUUACUGCAAAGAGAGAGCAAGUUAACUUGUCAAAGAAAAACCAGAACAAUAGAUGCCAAUGCAGUUCAAAAAGUUUAUUUCCCUUCAUACCCAUUUCCGAAGUGCUCUUCUCCCCAUGUCCUUGACCAACCUAGACAUGAGAGAACAAAAACAGAGUUACAUCAGAUUAAAUUAUUGAAAGAAAAAGGUUCACUUCUGUUGUAACAAAUCGACAUUAGAAUCAAGCAACCACGCUAUGAAAUACAAAUUUAAAAUGUAACAAUUUACUGUGUCUAAAAGGAAUCUUGAAAUAAAAUAGUUAAACCCUAAACAGCACCACUGCAAAUAGCAUAAGAAAAUUAAAAUUAACCCUAAAGAAAUUGGGAGAGAAGAAUAUGAAAAGGGAAUACCUUUCGGCCCCUUUGAGUUAUUGGAAAAAACCCAACAGAGCAAAAGAUAAACAAAAAUACAGGCGGAAAGAAAAUAAAUUUUCAACUUGUAAGAUUCAUACGCGAACAGAUUGGUGGUCAAAAGCAUUUCGGAAUUCAGAGCCAUCAAGCUUUUUGAUCUGCAUGGAAAUUAUUUAUGAAGUUUGAGAUUCUUAUAGACGCUUUAGACACAUCGACAUAUUGAGAAAGCAAUAUUCAACAACCUAGUACCCAUGCUCCAUAGAAGGUUGAGAAAAUAUGAAUGUCUGGACUCUGGAGUGAGAAAGUAAAAGGACUUACCGCAUACUUCAUAUCUUCUAACUUUGUGUAGUCUACAAUCCCUGUUGUGCCUACAAAAAAGGCAUAGGACAAAAGCUAAAUCAAUCGAAAUUCUGAUGUCAUGAUCUAGGUCUUAGGAUUAAACUAUUGAAAUAACACUAUAUGAAAUAGCAGUGUAUAUCCCAAAAAAAGUAUGAAAUCUGGUUGAUAAUUGCAGAGUUCGAAGGGAUUUACCUUUGGAUUCUUCGGCUUUCAGAUGGAGUUUGCUUAUGUAUGGGAGAGAGAGGUGGAGCGGCUAGGGUUUGAGUAUGGAAGAGAUGAAAAAUGGAGAGAACACCUGUUUUGGCUGCAGCAACUCACACACUCCGGACAAAUCUGCAAAUGUCUAAAGGGGGGAAAAUAUAAAAAGAAACCUUAACAACUGAAUUCAAAGAAACAUUAUUACAUUGUAAAUAGCAUUUCACAAAAAAAAUAAAAUAAAAUAAAAUAUACUAAACUAAACUAAUUACACUCGGAUUGCAAUGCUAUCAUUUAAUAAUAGGAAUUCCCAUAACUUAGCAGAAGAUCCUGCAUCUGCAAAGGAUCCUUUAAAACCUAUUUUUUUUAACAACCCCACACCUGCAACACAUCCAGUCAAGGUAAACCAAUAGCACCCUCAUGCAGAGCUCUUCUGUGCAUAUAUACCCCUUAUAAGUAAUCUUAAUCAAUCAGUUAUCAUGAAUAUACAACUUAUAUUAAUUUUCUACAAUAUCCAACACACAAAUAUAACAGAAGAGGAAACUUUUACUUAAGCAGCACAAAAUGAUAUCCUCUGCAUUUCAUUCCAAAAUCCAUCACUCUUAUGUCUUUGCCUGCACAGUUUUUGCUCCAACAUAGCCUGCAAUGAUGAUAUAGCACUAUCAAUAAUUAAGACAUAAAGAAAGGCUAUCCUAGCUAGGUAUUAUGAUUGGAGUAAACCAACAACACCAUAAGUAAAGUAGCAGACCAAAUUUUUUUUAGAAUUGAUGUCUUAACAUGUUUAAGUAGCAAAAAGAUUACAACACAUUGGAUGUGUUAACACGUCCAUAAGCUGAUGACUCCCUCUCCGGUUUACCACAUCAUUCUUAAUGUACUCAACAAUGCAGCAGCAAUUAAAAGUCCUUGGAAAAUGCCAAGCUACUACAAUGACAUAACGAAAACUAUAUCUCACCUUACACCCUUGUUGGCAUAGACAACAUAUCCGUCCUUGUUCGGGGUGAAUCAUAAUCCUGAAUUCAAUUAUCAUCAUCGUCGAGAAUGUCAAACUGUAAAUCAACCAUGCAUGGAACAAAACUUAGAAAUUAAACAAUUAUCAAAGCUUAUGAAGAAUGCUAAACCCAACUAAUUCGAAACAUAAAGUAACCCGAAAGAGAGAAAACUUAUAAAUUUUACAUAAAUUAUAAUCCUUAACAGAAGGAUGGAACAAAACAGGUUCAUUCUUAAGAAUAGAUGUAACUAGUAAUAGGCCUGCGCGCUGCUGCGGGACUUGAAUGCACCAGCCUUAACAACAUGAAUAAGACACAUUUAACAUGAAAAAAAUUCAACAUAAUCAUGAACGAACAAAAAGGAUAGCUGAGUGAACAGUGUUCGUAAGUAAAACAGCUUAGUUUUUAUAUACAUUCAACCAAGCUGAUUACAAAAGAUGUGAUUGUAAAAAAUGUUCUGCUUACCUGAGAAACAAAAGCAACAUGCAUUUUACACAUACAAGACAUCUGAUAUUAAACCUAAAAUCAUGUAAUUCUGUAUGAAGUGGAGAAUAAUGCAGAAAGAUGGUUUUCUAUAGUGCUGCCAAUGACAAUUAAUUUCUCAUGAAAAAAAAGAAAAGAGAAACACAGGUAUAAAAGAAUAUUAUUUUUUAUAGUUGCAAACAUUAUGAAUUCCAAAAAGAAAAACUACAGAUAACACUUCAAUCACAGAUCUAAGCAUCUAAAACGUGGCAACCCAGAUACCAUUCAAGACAUUGCUCAGCAUCAUGGAUAAACUAACCUAUCUGUGUCCCUGUGCUCACUGCAUGUCAUAUACACCCGACCAACUGGGCAUAGGAGCAUAAUGAGGAAAACUUUCAGCACCAUUUUGUACCUGAAAAAUGAGGGAGGAACUAAUUAAAGCGUUCCUCACUUAGAAUAAAUAAUGCAUGCAUAAUAGCCAAAUGGACAUUGCGCAUAUAAAUUGUUGUGGCAAUAACUUGCAAUAGAAAACGUAGUUAAAAAUAAGAUAUACGAAAUACCAACAUUGCAAUGGUAUUUUUUUUUUCCAUUCGAUUGUACUGAAGCAUGCAUCUUAAAUUAGGUACUACGUGAGGUCUCUAUAAUGAAAUGGGAGAUUGAAUACACUUGACGAAACUGAAAAUUCAAAUAUGCACACGCUCCAUAGUGUAUCUUCACAACCAAAAGAAACGUUUAUAUAUACGACAUAUGUUUGACAUUGUUUUUCCCCACUCAAAUCGUCUUGAGAAAAUUUGACUACUAAAAACUACAAAACUUUGAUUAAAGAAUCAAAUAGAAUAGCAUGAGAAAGUUAUUAUUACACCAUACCUGACUUUUUUGCAUAUAAAAACACCUGUAUUUCACCUGAUUUUGUAAUGAAAUACAGAUGCUUGUAGUUCACCAGUACAUAGCUGCCUGUCAUUUGUUGUCUUCUUCGGGUUCAAGAUCCUUAUAUUGUCUGAGACGUGAAAGAAUCAGAAAUUGUAUACAGUUUGAUAAUGAAACAUGUAAUGUGAUUAUGUGACAACAAUGCACUCCUCUCUCUCAGAGAGAUAAACAAAGAUAUCAAAAACAGAGAGGCAAUGUUAAGAUAAACAGAAAGGCAAUGUCACAUUGUUUUGCAUGAUCUUGAAAAUUGGGGAUAAGGUAUUCAAAGUGCUAACAAACACGUGCAAAUGGGGAUAAAAAAGGGGAUAAAUUGAAAAAUAUAUAUGCUCUUAAUCGAGAACUUCAUCAAAUAAACAAUAAAAUCUAAUGUAAUCUGUCCAAAACCAAAGAGAGUGAUAAUUUGGAGGCACUAUAAUGUCUUGGGCAUCGCAUACUUGCGGUAUAUGAUUGAUGCAUCUGUUGCUCAAUCAAAUCAUUUGCUUGGCUAAAAAAGUUAUUUUUACAAUAAAUAGAUUCGCAUCCAAUUUAUGAGAAAUCAUGCAAAAGUAAAUGUAAAUGAUAACGGAAUCAUGAAUGCGAAUAAGAAACACAUACAUGCCAAAAAGAAAACCUACUAUAGUGUGUCAAGUUACUUGCAACAUAAUUUUUUAUGCCAUUAUCCAUUUCGCAAUACUUUAAAAAAAUUUCGUUUGAAAAAGCUUUGCUAUGAUUUUUAGGUUUGGGAAAAAUAAUACCAUAAAAAUUAAAAAACAAUUACUAAAAAUCAUGGCCUGUUAAUAGCAAAAUACACUCCUCAACAAUGUAUAUGAACAUGUGAGUUGAAAAUUUGAAAUAUUCAACAACUAAAAGAAAGAAGCAAAAUCAGAAGAAAAGAAAGAGAUACUCACUCAAAAAUAAAGAUGUAAUAAUGCCAGGCUUCUUCUCCUCGGCAUCCAGAAUUCCAUUGUUGUCUCCAUCUUCAACCUUCAAUGUAUUUAAAAUAUGAAAUGGAAAAAACCCAGAAGAAAUCAUUACAUAAAAUAAAAUUAUCCAAGUAAAAUUAAAGGAUGGAUAGAAAAGAAAUGAAGGCAGUUUAUUCGGACUUAAUUAGAGACUUACUGAAUAAGCUUGAAAUCUAUCUCACACAUCUCUUAAACUUCAACCCCUAUCCUCCUUGCCUCUGUAAUAUGCACACAUAUAGAAAAAGAAAUCGACUUUAGAACCUACAUUGAUACAUAUCUUGUGUGAGUAGGUCUUUCCUGCUUUUCCCCAAUCAUGCAUAUCAAAGAAACGAAAAAGAAGGAAAUCACCCAUAUAUAUAAUACCUUAAGUUUAAAUGCAUCCCAAUUUUGGGUUCCAACGUCACAGAAAGAAUGUCUUAUACAUAAUUUAACAGUACCCCCGACAUCGGUCCAUCCAUUCGUAUUAAUAGUUAUUGUCUGCACAAACCUCAAUUACCUUACAAUCUAUCAUUAUUGACAUAAAGUUCAUACAAUAUGGGACAUCAUGACCUCUCUUUGGCCAGCACCAGUUUUUCCAAAAUGAAAUCAACUAUUACUGCAUUAAUUAUGGGUCCAUCUGGCCAAUUCAUUGAAUUCGCAGACCCAAAAAUUUCACCAAUUAACUGAAUUUACAUACAAAUGGGAGAAGUACAAAAACAAAGACAAUGGCAUAAAUUAUACCAUAAAAAUUACACUACGAAAAAUUUAGAGACCAAAAUCCUUGUUAACAGAAUUUAUUCACAUUAAAAGACACAAUUUCGGUUCAAAAAACUAUCAAAUUUAAACUUUGAUAUCAUAUGAUAAAAUCUUAAUUAAACUCACAAUCUCAAGAAGUUGAAACCAUGUUAAGUAAAAGAAACAAAUUGAAAAAAAUUAAGAUGUAAAUAUUGAUAAGAACAACAAAAGUGGCAAAUACAUUAUACACAGAUAGGACCCUGAAAUAUCGGAACCAGCAGCAACAAAUAGAAUUAAGAAGAAAAAGGAUUAGCAGACUUAAUAAAUGAGAAAUAGGAUAACAGGUACGAACUCAGUUUUUCCACUAUGAAUAAGAGAUCCAGUGGCAUAACCUAACAUUAGGUAGAAUCAAUGCUGGUUGAUUGAAUUUUCAUUCCCUGAAAAUUCAGAAAAUGAUGUGUUUUGAUCUGCAGAUAGAAGCAUUCUAUAUAUAUAAAAAAAAAAUAUAUGGAGACAUGAUGAGGUUCAGAAACCAAACCAUGUCGGUAAAAUCCUCUUGGCAGGUUGCUCAAGGUUGACCUCCUAGCCCUUGGACCAGUCAGGAGACUUGGCCUCCUGCUUUCAAGUUUGGAAGGGAAGUAAAAGGUUCAGCCAAUAAGUAAAAGAAUUGAUUCAGAGGAUAGAAUCAAAAUUUCAAAAAUAUUAUUUGAUGCGAUUAAAACUGUUCCCAAUGAUAAAAUGAAUAAAAAAAUCCAUUGGAAUAAAAGAAAAAGAAUGAUUAAAAUUAUUCACAACCCUUGCUGUUUUUACCUAACCAUUUGUAGGAUCCAUAAAGGGCCAAAAAAAGUUUUUUACUUCUCCUCUAGUCCCAUAAAUUUGGAUUCCAUCUCGUCCAAGCAAACUAACAAUCAUUACUAUACUUUGUUUUAGCAUGCGAACACAAAUCUCAAAAAAAAUAGAUAAUUCAUUUACAAAUUUAAAUUCAAUUUUUAUAUCUCGAUAUUUGUUUGUUAAACUCAAUGAUCAAACUUCAGACUCAUGCCUUCCAAAAAGAAAAGAAAACGAAGAAGAAUUGAAAGCACUUCCCAUUCCAAGGAAAGAGCAGCCAUAAUUAGGAUCCAAAACUCAUUCUUUAGUCUCCUCAUCUGAAGCUAUAUAUAAUCAUUGAACAAAAACGUUUAACGUCCAGCAGAAAGCAAACUGCAAUCAAAAUUUCAAAAAAGCAAAAUAAUGCGCAGAUAAUCGACAGCUGCAACAAACAAAAAAUAGAAAAAUCAAAUGCAGAUUGAAGGAAAAAUCGAGACCGCAAUCGAAACUCAUGCUUGUAUGGGUAAUUAAUUGUAGAUACCAAAUCAUCAAAAACCACUUGUCUACACCAAAUUGCAUACAAAAGAUAUUGGGGCAACUCAGAUUGUGCAAUGAAAAACAAAGUCAAACUACGACGUAGAUGUCUAUCGGAAUUUCAUUCAAAGAAUGAUUAAAUAAAGACAAUGGCAUGCCAAAGAUUAAAUACCCUAAGCGACAGUGUCAGCCAUGAGCUUCCCUCUGUGAGAGCACAGGGGUGUAACUGCAAAAGAAAGCCGGAGACUGAGGGCAAACUGUAAUUUCGUCAAAAAGGAGGAAGUGUACAAAAGAGAAGUGACAGCAAUAAGCGUAGACGCCAAGGACAAAGUAAAUAUGUAUUUGUGAAUGGGGUUAAGCUGCUGCUAGCUUUGUAUAGUGUAAUAAUGCAAUUGCAAAUAGACCAAGUUACUGCUACUAAAAGCUUUUGCAAAAUCAUAAAACUCUUAACAGUUUGAACCCUACCGAAAAGUUUAUAUGAGUUAAAGAACAGUCGUACUUAAGUGCAGCAAGAUCAUAAGCUCUUGCAGCUUCUCCUCCAUAUCAGAACCACCUGCAGUCCAAAUUAACCAAGAUUCAAGGCCAAAGCAAGAACAAAUUAGUGAUAAUUUAAACUAAAGUCCCUAAUUAUUGUUGCAGAGAGAAUUCAUAUCAAGAUUAACGACAUUAUUUGAUUCGAAUGGAAUCCAAACGCAGCAUAAACAUGAAAGGUAAAAAAUUAAUACCAAAAGUCACAUUUAAGCAGCAAUUAAUAGCAUAAAUCAGAUUUUAGUGGCAUGGACCAAAAUAAUUCAGUAAAAAAGAAACAAUCCCAAACAAAUAGAAAGAACUGGAGAAACAAUUCGAAACAAAUCUUCGGAAAGCAACCCCAUCCCUCCCUCACCCUCUCUCUCUCCAAUUCCAACUUCUCCCUACAUCUCUCUGUCUAUAAUAGAUGUGCAGUUUUAUUAAUCUUUGUUGCCGAAGCGUGCAAGAUAGUGAAAAGAUUGUUUAUCUAAGAAAAAAAAGGGCACAUUUUAGAUGGAGACAGAUGGCAUUUAACAAAUUCUUCAUUAGUGGAGUAAAUAAUUUGCAACCACCUAUUUCCUGGUAGCAUUAAAAAAAAAAUUCAAUUUUAAAAAAGAAAUGUACUUUUUAGUUCAAUUUCCACAGCCAUAGUAAUUUAUGUGGACUAAAAUUAAGAUUAACUAAUACAUCCAAUCAACUGCAACUAAACAACUUAUAGUAAUUGAAUCUGUGUUUGUGGAUGUGAGAGAGAGAGAGAGAGAGUUAUCUAUUAUAAAGCCAACCUUCUUUGAAUUGGUCCUCUUAUGGCUUAUUACCAAAACUCUCCAUUGCAUUUGCAGUAAUGCCCUCUGCUUCUCCUCCUGCGAAUUAUCAUUCUGUAAGUAAAAGGUACAAAAACAUCAAUUACUUAAUGGUAGAUAUGUACUUUAGACUUUUGAAGAUCCAAUUCAUCCUGCAUCUUCUCACACUCAUCUUCAUGCUGAAGCUGCAAACCUGUCAGCUCAGCUUCAAGUUCGCUCCUCAUUGAAGUUAUUUUCUAUGAAAAUGAUAAACUGGUUUGUAACGUAAGCAUAUAACACUCUAGUUAAAUUAGUAGUUCCAACUUAAUUCAAAGCUAAAAACGACAUUAAUGACCACAAUUUAAGAAUCCAGAAACAGCCCAAACUAACAACACACACAGAGGACAGACACUGAAAGACAUAUUUUUUUAGAGAACCUAACUAAAAAUUAAAAACAAACCAAGUAAAAUUUUCAGAGUUUAAAAACAGGAAACCAUUACAAUCUUUACAGAAACCAACUAAAAUUGGAAUCUGAAAAAAAAUCCGCUCAAUUUUAACAGCCCUGCUGCAUAUAUUGGGUUUUUUUAGGCAUGAGACAACACAAACGAAGAAAACAUAACAUAGUUGUAAACCUUAGGCUCCAAUCAGGUCAAGUGUGAGAUUUCAAACACGGAGAUUUACUCCAUGUUUAAAAACUGCCAAAUACAUUGCCAACUGUUAAGAGUAUGAACUACAAAUCUAUAAAGUAAAAAGACUUGCAGAUAAGUUUAAACAAUCAACAUUCAACUUAUGAUUGUUACUGUUUUUUAGCUGGAUGUUCACAUUCUAAUAAGGUAUUAAAAGAGAUUAUAAGCGUGUGUGCUCUUAAACCACCCAACACCAUGUAUUAAUCAAAUAAUUAACAUCUAAAGAUGGAGACAUGAAACACGAAACCUGCAAUUAGAUCCCAAUCACAAAAUGCCAAAAAAAUCCUAAUCUAACCAUCCCUAUACUAAUAGCCCAUUCGAGCAGCUAUUAGCACCUAACCCGCUACUUUGGCAACCCACCAACCCGCCACACCGUCAUGUCCCAUCCCCUCUCCACCACUCACUAUAUCUCUCACCUUUCUUUCUUGACAUUUCGCUCGGUGCACACAAACACCAAGCCAACCAUUGCCGGCCUUUGUCUAAAAGUGGACAAAAUCCCAUAGGUCCUGGCAGAGGACCUAGCUAAAUCUCUCUCCCACUCAGUCGAAACCCGUAGCUACCAUUUCUCUCCAAUCUGUCAGUCUCUCUGUCCCCCUCUUCUCCUCCCCCCAACAACCCUCUGACCGAUGCAUCACCCACAGCCACACCCACCCGCACCCGAGUCAAAAAUCCCAACGAUCCUCUCCCUCCAACCCGUCAACAAAUUAUGGAUUCCGAGAAUGUAUCUUGAAAACUCAGAUGCACAUGAUUAAAAUUAGUAGAUAUUAAGGACGUGUACUUAACAGAACAACACGAAGAACGAAUGAGUACAUUACAAACUAAAUGACCGUGUCAGCUAGAUACUUCUUAAAGAACACCUCUAAUCUACCAGUAUGAUUACUCAGUUUUUGGUUUUUAAAUUAAUACCCUAAACCUUACAUUCAAACUCAUUUCGAAUGCAAACAAAAGUAAAUGAUAAGUCCCGAGCUUUUCUUUCUAGCCUCAACUCAACUCAAGUUCCCAACCUUCACCUUCCAAUACAAAGAAACUAACGCAUCAAUCUGCAAUUUCGCAAACAUAUAAUUCAACUAACCAAGUUCUGUGUCCACUCAAAUGCACAUAUUUGAGCUCAAUCAAACUUAAAUUUGAAACAAAUAGUGAUGAAAGAUCAAACAUUUAUACCUAGCUUAGGAUCCGAACCAAUCUCCUCUUUCGCCUCCCUCGUCGCCGUGUCCCCAUCGUCCUUGUCCCCCUCCUCUGUUUUCCCACCCGGCAAAGAAACUUCACCUGCAGAAACACAAAACCAAAAAUUAAAAAACCAAUCUUUCCCAUUUCCAUUUUUAUCAAUUUCCUCAAUUUUUCCCAUUUCCAGAAAAAUGAGCAAGAAGCUUAAGCAGGAAAAAAAUCAUAAUUUCAACAACCAAAACCCAAUACCCGUUUAAUCAUACACGAACGAAAAAUCUAAACACAGAGUCACAGAUUAACGAACUGAAAACCCAAAAAAAAUAAAGGAAACUGACCUUACUUAAGAACAAUACAUAGAACACAGAGAAACGAAACAAAUAAAGGAACCCCCAAAACCAAAUAAAGGAACCCUCAAAACCUGACCUAACAGUGCAACAAAAUCUGGAAAUAAUUCACAGCAAAAAGGCAGAAAUGAUGACAAUCUAUGCUAACAGUAAAGAAUCGAAUUAAAAAUUGAACUUAGCUUUUGAAAUCCAGCCACUCAUCCGACAUGCAAAAGGGAACGGAUGAUCGAGAGUGAAUCAUGGACUGAGGGACCUUACUCGACCCAUCAUUGGAGCUACGUUUGUAGCUUUUGGGGAGAAAAAAAUUGAAUGUGAAAGCUGCUUUUGAUGUGGCCAUUAAGGUGGUGCUUCAGCAACCGAAGCAAAAGAAGAAGAGGCAGAAAAAUGUGAGUAUUCCAUGAAGAAAAAAAAAAGGUUAAAAAAUCACUAAAAAGAAAAGGCAGAAAAAUGCAGGGUAUUCCAUGAAGAAAAAUUCAACAAUUAAAUAAUAUAGCUGUAAACCUUAGACUCCAAUCAGGUCAAGUGUGAGAUUUCAAACACAGAGAUUUACUUCAUGUUAAAAAACUGCUAAAUACAUUGCUAACUGUUAAGAGCAUGAACUAUCUGUAAAGUAAAAAGCCUUGCAGAUAAGUUUAAACGAUCAACUGUCAACUUAUUAUUGUUGCUGGUUUUGAGGUGGACGUUCGUAUUCUAACAUGGUAUUAAAAGAGAUUAUAAGUGUGUGCGCUCUUAAAUCAGCCAACACCAUGUAUUAAUCAAAUAAUUUAUAUCUAAAGAUUGAGACAUACAACAUGAAACCUGCAAUUAGAUCCCAAUCACAAAAUGCAAUAAAAAAAUUCCUAAUCUAACCAUCCAUAUACUAACAACCUAUUCGAGCAGCUAUUAGCACAAUUUACCUCCCUCUCUAUUCUUCCCCACCCCCUCUUUAACCAAAUAAAAACUCAUUUGUCUCACUAAAUAAAAACCUCAAAUUUGUUUUUUCAAAGCUGCAACAACAUCACUAAAAACACCAUGUAAUAAAAAUUUAAAAAAACCAAUCCAAUUUAAGUCGAGAAGCAAAUGACCAAACCUCCUAUUUUGAGGAAACAUUUUGCAUUCAAACCUAAAAUGCUUGCCUGCAAAGAAGGAUUAAAUAGCAAAGCAGACUUUCGGGGGAAAUAAAAAAAACAGACUAUUUAUAAUACAAUAAAAAUAAAGUAAUUCAUCAUCCCCACCAUCUCUGUGAGCUUUAACAGAACAGAGGAAUCAAAUUAAGCAAUAUAUAAAUUUAAGUUGACAUUCCAGUGUUCUACCUCUAACCUUGGUAGCAUGCAUGCACUGUAAGUUAUAAAGUGAAUUAAGCCAAGAUCUUCUAACUUCAUGAUUUUCACAUAUGCAUUAGAUGGAGAAAUACAAUAAAUAAUCAAAUAUGUAAGACUCUGAUAUUCAAAACCAAACAAACCCAAUUACACUUUUAGUUCACUAACCCCAUUGAAUAAAAUCCAAUUCAAUAAAAUAACAGAAAAUUAAACAACCCAAAAAUCAAAACAACCCCACUUGUAGUUUUAGCUCACUAAUCCGUUGGAUAAAUAGAUGCCAAAUUCAAUCAGAAAACAUACAAUUAACAACAACCCAGAAGAGCCAUCCGAAAACCCAACCAAUUAACCAAAAAAUACCACUUGUUCUUUUAGCUUAGUAACCAACCUCUACUUGUUUUCUGGCAAAUUUGGGGUCCUUUGAUUUCUAGACUUUCAGUAGAAACUGAUUAUACCAUGGGCUAAUAUUCAAGUACCACAAAAUAUAAUUUUACCGUAGUAAGCUUUUUGAUUCACUCCAAACGAAGAUAUUAUAUGUUCACAUAUAUAUAUUCACAACCAUAAAAAGAAGAACUUAUCUCUGGCAUUUUAAUAAAAAUAAAAAUAAAUUAUUCACCCACAGUAAAAACCGAAACAGCUAAAUUAAACCCAAAAAUUAAUCAUGAUCAUACAUAUGUAUUCCUGACAAAUGUUUAGCCCUUUAAUUAAAACACUAAAAUAAAAAAUUGCUCACCCACAGUAAAAAACCGAAACAUGCAAACCAAAGCCCAAAAUUUAAUCAUCACUAUUACUUUUUUUUUUUUUGGUGUUUUUAAGUUUCAGGGAAAAAUGGAAGCACAAACAAUCAAAAAACCCAAACAAAAAGAAAUUAACACCAAAGAGAUAAAUUAUAUACCUGACCCAGAAAAAGCUUGGAAGCUCACAUAAUGAAACCCUAAAACUCGAAGAAGGAUGCUUCCUGCAAACCAAAUACAAAAUCAGACUCUCUCUCUUAGAAAGAGAGAAGUUAUCAAGUCCUGUACUUGGUUAUAUUUGUUCAAGUUAGGAAAAAUCGAGUACAGGGUUGGUACCUGGAGCUUGAGAAAUCAGAGAGCUUGCCUGUUUGAGAAAAGAUGAUAACAACAGCUUCAGAUUCACACAGAAAACGUACAAAAAACGCACAACAUGCUCUCUGCCCUCUCUCUCUCUCCCUCCCUGUCCAUCCGUCCCUCAAAAAGUGGGAAAAAAAAUCUCCAAACGUCUCUCCCACUCAUGAAAUCGAGGAUCUGCAGCAAUGGCGCUGAGGUCGCCACUCCUCCCUCUCCCUUUCUCUGUCGCUCUGUCUCUGUCUCUGUCUCUGUCUCUGUCUCUCUCUAUCGAAGGCAUGGCCUUUCAUCCCCGAAACCCUCACUGAAUGACAGCAAACCCAAACCCACCCCAAUCCGUCUCAAACACACAGGACAAAAUUGCCCUUCCAACCCAGCCCCAAUACCAGCCCAAACCUUACGGUUUUGUUGUAAAUAGCGUGAAAUCGAGUGGCUCCCUGAUAAGCCAUAUGGACAAAAUUACCCUCUGAAAUUUUGAGAAUCACCCUCCCAACCCACUCCCAUUCGGCUGGUACUGUUGUAAAUAAAGCAAAAUAAAAACAAACGUGAAUAGUGCCUGCCCUCCCCCUACUUUAGUAUAGAUAAUUUUGCACAUUGCAUAUAUGUAGAUUAAGGACGGUGGUAACAUACCUUGUAAUUUGUACAAAUUAGGAUUUUCAUUCAAAGAACUAUAAUAUACACAAUUACAAAAAAAGUGAUUCAAACUUGUUCUUCUCUUAAGGAAAUUACUCACAGUUGAAAUUCUGAAUGGAUGAAGUUUUGGCUUCCCUUUCCGACUAUAUUUGAUUAACCUUUUUUUAAUCCAAUGAGUGCCUUCAUGAGAGAGAGAGAGAGAGGAAUAUUAGGUGAAAAGUAUUGCCAAAUCACACAGAGAUCAAAAUCUUGAAUAUAUAUGUUUAACCAUGUCAAAGUGAGUGUGUAAAGGGUGUAGUCUGCAGAAAGGGCAACAUUUUCACUGCUAGAAAGUUGGAAACUAAACUUUUACACAGAUAUUGGAUUUUAUUAAUUCCCUUCGCGAAUUGAAAAGCAAAUUGUUCGAGUAAUGCAGGUAAAUUCGAUAUACAUAUGCGUUGAUCUAUGUGACGGUUAUAAGUUAUAACUGUAUUGUCUUAACGCAAAAAUGAUCAUAAAUGUAAGUGUCUGUAUUAUGGAAGUAAGGGACUUACAGCAAUUGCUAUGAGCUUUAACAGCAGUCACUCCAAGUACCUUAUUACGGAAGUAAGGGACUUACAUCAAUUGCUAUGAGCUCUACCAGCAGUCUCUCAAAGUGGUGCAAGGGCUAAAAUUAUAAAUAAAAAGUAAUUUAAACAAUUUAACUUAAUAAAAUAUUGUAAUUUAAACAAUGCCUAUAUAUUCAAACAUCCCAAAACAGGAAUGAACUUCUAGAAAACAUGCGCAUGAAAAUAAACGGCAUUACUCACCCAUUGAGUUGGACCAUCAAACUGGAGCGUAAGAAGGAUCAUCAUGUACCUAUGAAACCCAAAGGAAAAUUUUAGCAACCCCAAAGCUUGUAUGCAAGCGUGAAUAAGUAUGCGUGUAUGAAUCUAUUCAUAGUGAAGAAGGCUACCUUAAGAAAUAUUUGCAUCUGCAGCUUCAUAUGGCCAUACAACAAAAAGCAUCGCAUAUGAUAACAAACCCCAGCUGCACCACAAAAGGAAUAUGAUCUUCCUCUCGACUUGUAUUUGCAGUUGUUACUGUAACAUCUGCAGACAGCAUACAUAAGCACUGAUUCGAUAAUUCUAAAGGAAAAAAAGUUCUUAUUCGAUAAUGCACCAAAUCCUAUCCAAAAACCAAGGGGGUGCCAUAUCCCUAGAUUAACAGAGCAUCUUUCUUUGUUCCAAAACAAAUUGCAAUUGGCUUUGGUAAAGUAGAAAGAUUACCAGAUACCGACUCUGUUCCAUUAUUCGACUGUCCUUUUAGUUCUAUCUCUCAACAUGGGAAAUACAAUAAGACAGUAAAGACAAAAGUUAGUGAUGCUAUUACAUAGUGAAAGAAAAUAAGACAUUCACAUAUUGAUAGCUAUUUACUGUCCUUUCUCAUCAUAAUCUUGGCCCCAAUAUAUAUACUGAAUUUUGAAUGCAAUGAGAGAAAUAUACCUUUGGGGCGUCAAUGCCAGAAGAGUGAGUGAGGGAUCUAAGAUGUUUGAGAGCAGGAAUUUUUAAGUAAUUUGUGUGAAAAAGUUGAAGAGCUUCGAACAGAGUGGAGUGGGUUGGCCUGGGCUAAAAUAAAGAGGAUGAACUCUAGAAAGUAGAAAAUGUUGUUAUUCAACCAAACUCAAAAGUAAAGAAACCAUACAAUUAACAUAUAAAUAAGUUUUAUAUACCAAUGUUUACAUGUACGUUGUUUGAGAAGGUAAAUUAGCAACAUAUACAGUGAUCAAAAGAUUAACAGCAAUAAACUGCUCAUUAUUCGAAAUAUACAUGAAAGUUGUCAUUCACAUGAUCCAAAUGGUAGAGGACAAAACAGAAGGAAGCAAAUAUUAUAGCAGCAUAAGUUGAAUAAUUGCAGCAAGUAAACAAAUAGAAAGGCUAGCUAGAUUACACAAUCCAGUUCUAGGUCGGACUAACCAUGUUAGCCAUCCGCCCACCACCAGCACCGUCGGCUUCUUAUUAAAAAUGUAGAAUAGAAGACUCAAAAACUGGAAAUGAAAGCAGGUAACAUUGAGUUUUAAUAACCAAAAAGGGACAUUGUUUAAGCAGCUCCAUAGCAGCAAUUAUACUUGGACGAUGAGCUGCAAAAACAGAAAAGAAAACACAAAUUAAACUAAAAAAAAUAUAAAAUUUAGCACUAAUCCAGGAUUAAAUAUAAAAUAUAAAGUCAUUAGGAUUGGGACCUUUGCAUUGAGGAAUAUCUACUACAUUAUGAGUUCCCUCCUGACAGUGGCGGAUCCAGGAUUUUAAACUCGGGGGGUCUCAAUAAUAAAGGUCAAAAAAUUUAUACACAAAAACAACAUUGAAAAUUUAAAUAUAAUACAUUUCAUUCAAAAAUCAUAUGCAAAACAAUAUUACAAAUUAUAAAAUCAUAAUUCAAGCGUCCAUUACAAGGUUUCAUAAGUUACUACCUAAGUUAUUGAUUAUCUAAUAUGGACCACUAAAUUUAAAACACCAGUCAAAUAAAACUCUUCCCAAACUCCCACUAUCUUUCUAACCAAACACACCAUUUUUCUCUUUUACUAGUUUCCAAACAUCCACUUUCUCUCUCACUAAGAACACAGCUGCCAUACCUCCACCAACCACCUCCCUCCCCAUUCUCCCGAAGCCAUGGCAGCUCCACCCCCAAAUUUCACCAACCCAUGACAGAUCAUAUCCAUCUUACUAACCUUAUGCAGGAAAUUUCACCCAUAACAAAAAUUACUAAGGUGGUUGAAAUAAUUUGGGGAAAUUUGGGCUUAUGUACUGCCCCGCCAGACGACAGAUGGAGGAGAAGUGGGUGGCACCGAUGGAUGAGACCAUGGCAGAAGCAAGGAGAGAGGCUGGAAGGGUCCCUAUUUUCUUUCUUCUCCGUGCGCGGUCAUCUUCUCCGAGAAGAAGACAGCCACUGCAACCUACAACCUGCACAGACCUCAUGCUCGAGUACGAGGGGUCCCCGGAAAAUUUCUAGCAGCGAUUUAGGAUCGCCGACGGGUCCUGGGACCUCCCAGGUCCCUAUGUAUGCAGGAAAACCUAAGGUUCCUCCUUAGGUUUUUCGAUGUACCAAACCCGAAUCCGCCGUCCUUUUUCCAAAAUUCUAACGUUUUCAUAGAGUUUUAUUAAACGACCUUUAAUUGUGUUUAGGUGCAUCGGUGGAAGUGACCUCAUUCUUGAUGGUUCGAGCGGCUUUCGGGCAAUGGAAAACUUGUGAGUGGACCCCUUCUAAACUUAUAUAUUGUUAUAAAAUAUUAGCCUAGCAUGCAUUCCAUAUUUCAUGAUUUGAAUAUGAUUUAUAAUAUGCUUUAUGGACUUUUAUAAUUAUGGUUUACGAAAUAGUUUGAUUUAUCGAAAUUACGUUUUAUUAGGUAUUGAAUUAUUGGAUUUACAUAUAUGGAUUUCUAUGGUUUUCAAAUACGAUUUAUAUUACGGUUUUACGAACAUGAAUUGUUUUAUGGAUUUCAUGAAUACAAUUUAUCUUGGAUUUAUGAGAUGAGACUUUGAGCUAGUGAGCUCCGGGUUUGAUAUGAGUUUUGAGAUAUGUUUUUGGUACUUAAUCUAGUGGGUUAUCAUACGGCACAUCCGCACACCACGGGUAUAGAUGUGUAUGGCCAUAGGACACAGAUGAUGAGGAGGAGUAAGAUAUGAUAUAUUGUAUACCCCCAGUUCACUGUCGAAAGCAGUGUCAGAUAACUUCACUAGCCAUGGCUAGUGUCGGUAUGGAUGUUAUGCUAUUUCAUACAGCUUCACCUUCGGGUGAUAGACAGUUAUUUAGCUUCACCUUCGGGGUGAUGGACAUGUACUACCUUCGGCCAACUAUAAUAGCCUUAGUUGAGUACUUCACUGACAAGAUUUACAAAUUUGCCUUUGGGCGACGACAUUUUCAUUAUCAAGCACUGGAUUUUACAUAUCUACCUUCUAAAUGGAUUUUCAUGGCAUGCUAGGGUUUUUCAUAAAGCCUAUAUGUAGUAUUAUAUAUGUUUUCAAAAUAAGGGGUUAUUAUGUUCAUAAAUAAAAUGUUUUCCUAUUAUUAGUAUUAUUAAUAUAAACUUUGGUCCACUCACCUUUUCAGUUUUUGCGCCUCCUCAGGAGUUAGGAUCGAGGCACAUGAUCCCGGCAUCAUGGCAUGUUGAUAUAGGUAUCCUUGAAUCUUCUUAGUGUAGGUAUCAUUCCCUUAUUCAUAUCUUUUUAUAGUGAUUCUUUCCUAUUAUUUCUAAUUAGUUGUAUGCUCUGAACAAAUUCCUGCUUUGGUAUAAUCGUUAUAACUACUUAUCUUGUAAUUGUUUGCAUGUUUAAAAUGGUUUCGUCACCUUUGGGCGUGGGCUAGCACGUGCCUACCCUGGUAUGUUGGGGUAUCGGGGUUGGGGCGUGUCAAAGAUAGAGAGUGAAUUUCUAGCAGAUUCAAUGGUUGUCUACAUUUUAAAAAGAGCUUGCCGAAAAGAUUGAUUCAGAUGAAAUAACAAAGGAUUUCAAUUCCAUUAAGGAUUGAAGGGCACAACUUGAAUAGGUAUUUUUCUUUUUAUUUGUUAGGUUGUUAUGACAAGAUUGACGAUGUAUGUUUCUUUAUAUUGUAAGUUGCAACUUUAAAGGUUUUCUUCGUUAAAUCUAGUUGAAACUUGAUUCAUUUAGAGUUAAAUUUCUUACUUCAAAUUGUUGCUUUUAGGCUUAUUAUUGUGUAACUUUAUGCAAGCAACAAAAAAUUUUAACCAUUUGAUUUUGUACUAAUAAUUUUAGCUUAGCAUGCCACCAAAUAAUUCAUGUCUCCGCUAUUGAAAUCUUAGCAUGUGCAAUUUCAAAGUCUCGGUUGCCAAGUCUCCCCAGGCUGUUCAGCACCCAUUCUGAAUCUUGAUCGAGAUCUAGAGCAGUGCAAGUCAAGGAGUCUUCAUUCUCAUUUGAAACAAUGCUAAAAUUAUACCUCAGCUUGGACUCCUUGGGCAAAAUAUACCCAAAUGUAUUAAUAAUUUAAUACUACUUGUGGAUGCACCACUAGUCCAAAAAAAUCACCUCUCCUUUCUUAAUCUUCAAUUGGUGAGGGUCCCAAUCAAGCGUGAAAGGCCCCGGCGCACGGUUGGCUUUAGUUUCCCAUGAUGAAAUCGACGAAACGUGGCCAUUUGUACGGUUGACACCCAAUUUCAUGCCCGGCAAAAAGGUGUCAACUGGUAAUCAAAGCUUUACGUUCACUUCUUCUUGUACAAAAUUUCCCGAAUCCAAAAGGAUAGCCACAACAGUAGCAAUACUGUUACUUAUGUUGGUAGACCUAGUAGUUUGUGGAGCUGAGAAAAACACAAUUGGAUUAGGAUCCCUCCCGCAUAAUUUUCAAGGUUUUAUUCCUGUCCAAGGCAAGAGUGCGUACAAAAUAGGGGCUUUACGGUUGCAAAUCCAAGCAAUGUUGCCAUCGGCCUUGUUGCUCUGGAUAGAUACGUAGCUGGUGCUUUUGGAACUGUCGUCGUGUACACAGGAACUGAAACUGAACUUCUCCGAUGCAGAGACCAAAGAACUUGAGGAGUUGAGAGUGUCUCCUGCUGGUUUCAGUGUGUCCUUGCACUUGCAGCAUUGUGACAGGUCCACAGUCAGCAUGCAAAAAUGAUUAAGUUGAUUAUUGCCAUGAUUAAUUAAUGACCAUAACAUGAAGUUUAAUUUCUCCAUAUGAUGAGGAAGAAAGACAUGAAAUCCAUCACCAGAACAUGAUUAAGAAUUUAAUCAAGCAACGCGUCUUAGUUAAACCAUUACAAUCAUUGUACAAGGCAUUUAUAAAUUAAAAAAAAGGGAAUAAAGUAAUAAUUGUUAGAAUAAGAAGAAAAUGUAGUACAACAAUGGAGGAUAUGCUGCAAUGACUAGAGUGAGAGAGAGAGAAAGAAGAGAGCAGAGAAUAUGACACUGCAAUUCUUUUCACACGCAUUGUUUGAUUGCUCACUUAGUGAGAGAGGAACAUCUCUCUACACUUAACAGUUACACUUCCAAACUUUUGGCAGUAUUCAAAAUUACAUCCAAGUAAUCCUAGCCAUCCAUCUUACACCCUAUGAGAUGAAGACACAUGUACACUCACUUACUUAAGAACUAUGAGACUUAGAUAAGAAAGCAUACAACCAAUUUAGCUAAUCAUCCUAGCAAUAUAAGCUAGAAAUACAACUACCACAUCAGAUCACAAUUUACACACUAACAGCCCCCUUUAAAUUGUGAACUGAUUUAACUCCAAGAAGUUCCCUCAGAUAACUGAAUUGUUCUCUUGCCAAUGCCUUUGUAAAGAUAUCAGCAAUUUGGUCUUUCGUAGGACAAUGCAACAGCUCAAUUACUCCUUGCUGCAAUGCUUCCUUUAUGAAAUGGUAUCUCCUGUUGAUGUGCUUGGUCUUCUGAUGAAAAAUAGGAUUUUUAAUGAUAGCUAUGGCUGAAGUAUUAUCACAAUUCAUUGGUGUUGCAACUAUUUGCAUUUCACCAAAGUCCUCCAAAACAAAUCUCAGCCAUGUAGCCUGUGCAGUUGCUUCAGAUGCACUAAUGUACUCUACUUCAGCUGUUGAUAAUGCAACACAUUGUUGCUUGACUGAAGACCAAGAGAAAACUCCACUGCCAAAGGUAAAUGCAUACCCCGAUGUACUUUUCAUAUCAUCUUCUGAACCGCUCCAGUCACUGUCACAAAAUCCCAUUAAGAUUGCUCCUUUGCCUUUCUUGUAUUCCAAGCCAAAAUCAAGAGUCCCUUGAACAUAUCUUAGUACUCUCUUUGCUGUCCCAAGGUGCUUGUUGGUUGGACAGUGCAUAAACCGUGAUAGCAGACAUGCAACAUACAUUAUAUCAGGUCUAGUUGCUGUGAGAUACAGCAAACUGCCUACAAUUUGUCUAUAUUGAGCUUCAUCCGUAGUCCCACUUCCAUCCUCUUUUCUCAAUUUAUCACUUGGAACCAAUGGAGUACUCACUGACUUACAGUCUUGAAGUCCAAAUUUCUUCAGUAGAGAAGAAGCAUAUUUUCUCUGAUGAAUGAAAAUAUACUCCUCAGUUUGCAUUACUCCCAUACCAAGAAAGUGAUGUAAGAGUCCAAGAUCAGUCAUUUCAUAUUUGAGCAUCAUAUUAGAUUUAAAGUCAUCCAUCAAUUCCUGACAACUUCCAGUGUAUAUUAUGUCAUCAACAUAGAUAGACACUAUAAUCAUUUCUGAACUUUUCCUCCACUUGGUAUACAGAGUUGCUUCGCUAGUGCUUUUCUUAAACCCACAGAGUGUAAGAUAUGAGUCUAUUUCACCAUACCAGGCCCUUGGUGCCUGCUUCAGACCAUACAGUGCUUUAUGUAACCUGUAGACCUUAUCUUCUUCCCCUUGUACAAUAAAUCCAUCCGGCUGAUCAACAUACACUUCUUCUUCUAGUACACCAUUCAAGAAUGCCGAUUUUACAUCCAAUUGAAACAACUUCCAUUUGUUCUUUGCUGCCAGGGCAAUUAAUGUUCUGAUUGUAUCCAACCUUGCCACAGGUGCAAAGGUUUCAUUAUAAUCAAUUCCGGGCUUUUGUGCAUAGCCUUUUGCAACAAGCCUAGCCUUGUUCUUUUGAACUGAUCCAUCCAAAUUCAAUUUAGUUUUGUACACCCAUUUCACACCAAUCACAGGUUUAUCAGAUGGUCUUUUCACUAAUUCCCAAGUCUUAUUUUUCUCAAUCAUGCUGAUUUCAUCUUUCAUAGCUUUCUUCCAUGCUUUAUCCUGUGCAGCUUCAUAAUAGGAUUCUGGUUCAACAAUACACAUGACAUCUUUCAUAGAUUUCACUCAAACUUCUAUAUCUCAAAGGAGUAUGAUCAAUCUGAGAUGCAAAAAUUGAGUCACUAGCACUUCCAGAUUCAAUGAGUGGAGAAUCUGUAAGUUGAGUCUGAGAACCUUCAGCAACAGCUUGUUCCAUGGAAUCCGAAUCCUCAUCAGCUUCUUUCAUCUCUGAAGAUUCACUUGCAGCAAUUGGAAUGUACACUUCUUUGAUCUUCUAUCUAUCCCAAUCCUAUGUACCAUUCUCAUAAAAAAUAACAUCUCUUGAAAUGAUUACUUUCUGAUUUUCAGGAUUAAGCAAUCUGUACCCCUUUUCACAAGUGCCAUAUCCAAUAAAAAUACCAAUGACACUUGUUUCAUCCAGCUUCUGUCUCAGGUUUCCAGGAAUAAGGGAAUAACCUAAUGAGCCAAACACUCUCAAGUGUUGAAUUCCAGGUUUUCUUCCACUGAAUUUCUCAAAAGGUGUCACAUUUUCCAAUACUUUUGUAGGACAUCUAUUUAGCAAGUAGACAGAUGUAACUACAGCUUCACCCCAAAGACUAUAAGGAAGACCUUUCUCAUGAAGCAUACACUUUGCCAUCUCCACUAUAGUUCUAUUUUUUCUCUCUGCAACUCCAUUCUGUUGUGGAGAGUAUGCAACAGUAAGCUGCCACUCCAAACCCAAAGCUUCACAAAACUGUUCAAAUUCAUUUGAGGUAAAUUCUUCUCCUCUAUCUGUUCUCAAUUUCUUCACUGAAAAACCACUUUGAAGUUCCACCAUAGCUUUGAAUUUCUUGAAUACAUGAAAGACAUCUGACUUGUGUCUCAAGAGAUAUAUCCAGCACAUCCUCGAAUAGUCAUCAAUGAAUGUAACAAAGUAUCGAUUUCCACUUAUGGUUGGUGUUUGCAUAGGGCCACACACAUCUGAGUGUAUAAGUUCCAAUGGCAUUCUUGCUCUCCAGAUUGACUCCCUUGGAAAGGACACUCUAUGAUUCUUACCAAAUGCACAUCCCUGACAUACACCUUCACUGUCAUGCAUUUCAGGUAACCCAAGAACCAUAUCAUGCUCCUGCAAUUGUUGCAAACUUCUAAAAUUCAGGUGGCCAAACCGUUUAUGCCACAUUGUACUAUUCUGAUGCACAUUGGUUUUCAGUACCAAAUGAUCGUUUGACUUGAACACAAGUGGAAAGCAUCUGUUCCCCUUUUGUUUCACACUAACCACUAAAUUUGUCAGAGUUCUAUCAUAAAAAAUAUCCACCUUAUAAUCACCAAAUAACAGAAAAUACCCAUGUUCAGUCAUCUGCCCAACACUGAGAAGGUUUUCUGCAAUUCCAGGUACUAACAUAACUUCUCUUAUGUACCUUUUUCCUUUAUCCGUGUCAAUGACCAAGGUUCCUUUGCCUUUCACAUCAACAAGAACCCCUGUGCCAACUUGCACUUUUGCUUUAAUACUUCUAUCAAUUUCCACAAGUAACUCCUCUCUGGAAGUCAUGUGAUUACUGCACGCACUGUCAAUAUACCAGGCAUCACUCACAGCUUUCACUUCAGUUGAUUGCUUGACCAUGAAGAGAUUUCCAGGUUCCAGGUUCUCCCACCUUGUUUCUAAAAUUUCUUUGCUCUCCCACUUUGUCUGCAAAAUUCCCUUGCUGAGCAUUUUUGUUUUGAUUGCAGAUCCUAGCAAUAUGACCAGGUUUUCCACACUUGUGACAUUUAAUCUUCCCUUUUAGCCAACAUUCACCAUAGUGAAGUUUAUCACAGUAUUUGCAUGCCCCUCCAGUGUUGUUAGCUUCAUUUCUUACACUUGGAGUAAACCUGUUAGUCCACUGCUUCCCUUUGAACUUGAAGUUCUUCUGAUAUUUUGAUCCACCAGUAUUGGUAUGUUGAUUACCAAAUUUACUAUUCUUAGAUGAGAUAUAUAUCUAAGCUAGCAAAUGCACGUUCUGUGCUACUCUCUUCAUGUCUGAUUAAUCUUAGUUCAAACCCUUUCAAUAUGGCAACCACAUCUUGUGCAUCAAUUACAUCAAUAUCUUUAGUAUUUUCUAUAACAGAAGCAAUGCUAUCAUAUGUUUUGGGUAAACUGAUCAAUAACUUUUGCACAAUUCUCUGAUUACUAAGAUCUUCUCCAUAGCUUCGCAUCUGAUUUAUCAGAUCAAACAACCUAGCUAAAUAUGCAGCUAGAGAUUCACUUUCACUCAUACGGGUAUAUUCAAAAUCACGACGCAGACCUUGUAAUUUCACAGAUCGUACCUGUUUGUCCCUACACAUACUCUUGCUUCAGAAUAUCCCAAGCUUCUUUUGCAGUUUCCAAGGUUGCAAUGCGUGGAAAAAUUUGAUCCGAUACGGCUCCCUGAAUGAUUCCAAGAGCCCUUGCAUCCUUGACCAGAUUUUCACUCCGCAACUUCGUUUCCACCUCAGUGAGUUCUCCUUCCCCUUUCGCUGAAGUGGUAAAACCUUUUUCAACAAUAUUCCAUAACUCGUGAGAUCGGAAGAUUGUUUUCAUUCGAAUCUACCAGAAAUCGAAAUUUUCUCCGUUGAACACCGGAGCUCGAAGCUCCCCUCCACCAGAUCCAGCCAUGUUAGACUUAGAUCACACCUCUCUCUACUAUUUUCUUUGCAACGAUGUGUUGCAAACACUUGCUCACUAUCUCUCACAGAAUCGACGCCCAGAGAUUCAGACCCAACAAGGCUCUGAGGCCAUGUUAGAAUAAGAAGAAAAUGUAGUACAACAAUGGAGGAUAUGCUGCAAUGACUAGAGUGAGAGAGAGAGAAAGAAGAGAGCAGAGAAUAUGACACUGCAAUUCUUUUCACACGCACUGUUUGAUUGCUCACUUAGUGAAAGAGGAACAUCUCUCUACACUUAACAGUUACACUUCCAAACUUUUGGCAGUAUUCAAAAUUACAUCCAAGUAAUCCUAGCCAUCCAUCUUACACCCUAUGAGAUGAAGACACAUGUACACUCACUUACUUAAGAACUAAGAGACUUAGAUAAGAAAGCAUACAACCAAUUUAGCUAAUCAUCCUAGCAAUAUAAGCUAGAAAUACAACUACCACAUCAGAUCACAAUUUACACACUAACAAUAAUUACAAGUUUUACACAAGUGACCAUUUAUUACAAUGGUGGAAAGGUGUUAAAAGCUUUUGCAUGACGGUGUGAGUUCGAACCUCGUCGGUUGUUAAUCUACAAACCCCGUCGGUAGUUAAUCUAACUUCUAAUCUAAUAAAAUCUAUUUUUUGACCAAAAAAAAAUAAUUACAAGUUUUACUAAAAAUUUAGGGGUGUGAUAUCUACACACCCCUUUUUACUUCUCUCACAUCUUUUUGAUUUUCGACCGUCGGAUCGGAUGAAUUGAAGAAGAUCAACGGACAGAAAUUAAUAAGGAUGUGUGAGAAGUAAAAAAAGGUGUGUAGAUAGCACACCUCAAAAUUUACCGGAAGACUUGAUCACCCAUUUGUAUGCUGACAACGGUGACUAGAUUCACAACCUCUUUCCCACGUAAAUCACAUCAUCCAAUUUUAUUUUUCUUACAACAUAUCACGUAUCUGUCAUAUGUAAGACUUUUUUGGAAUAUGGAGCGUGAAAUUGCAGCGGAAGCAUCCUAGAUUUUUGAUCGAAUAUUGAGUUUGGUUUCAUGACAGACUUCCUGGAUCAAACACACCCUAAAAAAAUAUAUAAAAAACCAAUAAGGUCAUGGUGAUACGACAUCAUUUUAAGAGGAAAGGUAAAAACAAUCUAGUUUCUAUACUAGGAAGAUUCACUCGAACAAAUUCUUGGAAACUAUGACUCAAACAAAAUUCUAGGAAUUCAGUAUUUUUAACAAAUGAUAAACGUUUAAGAUAUAUUCUUUAUAAUAUUAGAGAAAUCGAACGGUUGAUCUAUAACUCGCAAAGUGGUUGUAGCUCAAGUAAUUUUACUCCCCAAUUUUACAUAAAACAUAAAAUAAAAACAAAUCCUAAUUUACAUGGUAAUUUUUUUUCAUAGCUAGGGACAACUUCGACUAUGGUAAUGCAAUUAAUAUACACUAGUUUUGGAUGGAGAAGUUUCAAGAUUGAGCAUGGGAUGGGGAGGGGCGAGAGACUUGGAUGGAGAGUGAGGUUUUAUGAGUUAAACAGUGAUGCAAGGAUGUAUUACUUAAAACUUUAGAGACCGUAUGUUGGGCUAUAUAUAAUUGUUUAACUCAUAAACGUUUUGAGUGUUUCUAACAUAUGCUUAUCAAAAGCCUUCUCGUUCUAUCAAACAAUACGAAAAUUUUCAAUUGAAUGCAAGACAUACUAUUUUAUAUAUCACAGUACUUCAUGGAUCAUCAUCAUCACAUAUCCUUAAUUCAAAGGUAAUAAAUGAGCAUCUAGUUUUAUUUUUAUUUUAUUUUAUAUAGGGACUACAGAAGCAAGCACCCUUUGUAAAUUAAACUCUAAAACUUCUCAAGUAUCUUGAAAGGUGCCAAAAGCCAUCAGCCAACUCCAGUUGAUGCAUAACCUCCUACAUUUACAAAAACAGCGUCGCCGUUAAUUUAUUGACUUCUUCCCAGGACACAUACCAAUUUGCGAAAGUGGUUUGACUGAUGCUAAUUAGUCGAGUAAAGUACAGUCUUUUCAAUUAAGCAGAUGCAAAACACUUAGUUGAGGCACUACAAAUAUGAUUUUUACCUUUAAUUAACGCGCUUCAAAAUCUGAACUGGACAUGUAGUUUGCUGAAGCAACAGUUUCAAGUUGCUGAUUCCCACUUAUACCAGCCUCCACCGUCCUCCUUCCAACAAAAAAUGCUGGCUUUGUUGGUGAUGCUAAUCGAAAGCUUUCAUUUGUCAACAUAGAUAUGACAUCUGACAUGGUAGGGCGAUCUGCUGCAUUUUCUUCUACGCAAAGCAGACCGACAUGGAUGCAUCUUAACAGUUGCUCUUUAAUAAACGAAUUUCCUAAUGUUGGAUCCGUUAAUUCUAGCCCUGCACCUUUUUUCCAUAACUCCCAUGCCUGAAGAACAAGGAUUGCAUUUCAUUCUAAAGAAGAAAAAAUAUGAUUAUAAAUUUUAAGAGAGAGAUUUGUUUGUCAUACAUAUCCUACUAAAUUGAGUGCGCGAUCGUCAUUGUAAAAGCUGUUGUUUUUCCUUCCACUUAUGAUUUCAAGCAUCAAUACCCCGAAACUGUAGACAUCAGACUUUACAGAAAUAAUUCCCCCCACGGACUCUGGAGGCAUGUAACCACUGCACGAAAUGAAAAAGAAAAUUAGUCAGUAUACUUAUCUGGAAAAAUGCGUGUUUAGCAGUCAAAAGGGGAGGACCACGUCAAUGUGAUGCAGAAAUACUUACAGUGUCCCCACAACCUUUCUAGUGUUUGCUUCCAAUUCAUUUUGGGUGAAAAUCCUUGCCAUACCAAAAUCUGAAAUUUUUGGGUUCAUGUUUUCAUCAAGUAGUAUGUUACUAGCUUUUACAUCUCUAUGAAUUACUUUCUUUCUUGAGUAUUUGUGCAGAUAAAGCAACCCUUGAGCAAUUCCUUCGAGAAUGCUAAAACGCUUCUUCCAAUCUAGUAGUAGACCUCUGAUUGGAUCUGUCCAAUAUGUAGAGUUAAGUAGGACUAAUAUUAAUUAAUAGUAGUACUCUAUGAACUUUGACAGUAAAAUAAAAAUCAGAUAGUAAAUUUAACAAAUGAAAUCAAGUAUCUUGGUUCCUCACCAAAUAAAAAGUGGUCCAAACUUUUGUUCUGCAGAUACUCAUAUAUCAACAUCAUUUCUUCACCAUGAAUGCAAAAUCCGAAAAGGUGAACCAGGUUUGUAUGUUGGAGUUCAUAUAUAAGUAUCAGUUCAUUCUUGAAUUCUGAUGUUCCUUGCCCUGAACAUUUCGAAAGCCUCUUCACAGCUAUUUCUUGUCCCGCCGCCAAUUUCCCCUGAAUUGAUAAUCCAUAUCAUGUUUUUGCUGUCAUCUUUAGGCAAAUGAAGCUAAUUCCUUUUUUUUUUCUUACAGCUUUUGAAUUAGAACUUGGGAGCAGCCUCUCCAUAAAUGGGGGUAAGGCUAGCCGACAUUCACCUCUCCCAGACCCUGCGUAAAGCGGGAGCCUUGUGCACUGGGUACGACAGCUUUUGAAUUAGAAGCAGAAAUUUUUUUUUUUCAAAAUGUUACCUUAAACCGGUCCAAACCCUCCUUGUCCUAGCUUGUUUUCUUCAGCAAAGUUGCUUGUGGCAGCCACGAUGGAUGAAUAGCUAAAAACGCUAAAAUCAUGAUGUCGCUUAGAUUUCAUGAAGAUAAUCAUUUCGUUCUCAAUCGUUGUCCGGUUCUCACCUAUACAGAUCAAUUAUAAGAAAUUAAAGUUUCAAUGGAGACAACAAUUGUCAAAGAUGUGAUUAAUAAUCCUGUCUUAUGUUGGAUUAUGUGGCCAAGUGGCCAUAUACUUUAGAUUAAACAAACCAAAGGUGGACAACACCUUUCCUUGUUUUGGGGAGGAAAAUAGGGAAAAGGUUUUUUGUCUUGGUCCAUGGGAAGUCACGGUUGAGGUUUUGAAUAAUAAGUUUUGGUUGUAAUGAGAAGUAAGAGUGGGAUAGAAGAGAAGAAAAUAGAGUGCAGAAAAUUGAGAGAGCCGAAGAGAAGAGAGGGAGAGAAAGAAGGUACUGCUACAGUACCAUUUUCAGAGAAGGGGUUGUUGUUCCUUUCAUUGGAUAAUUCUCACUCCAUCAAAGUGUUAUUGUUGUAAUAGCUUUGAGCUUUGUAUAGAGAAGAAAUUAAUCACUAUAUUUCUUUCUCUAUUUGUUUCUUUGGAGUGUGAGUUAUUGGGUUAUUUGGGUUGUGAGAUUGCCAACACUUUGUAAACUCCCAUUUGGUUGAUAGUGGAUUCUUGGGUGAGCUCCUACUGCUCCGAGGACGUACUCUAGUUACACUGACUGUUGAGGAACCUCGUUAAAAUCUUGGUGUCUUUAAUAUUUUGUUCUUGCAUUUUAUUUGAUAUAUUUCCUGUGGGUUAGCUUGAGUUGGUUCCACAAGGGUUUGGUGCUAUCCUAGCACAACAAUUGGUAUCAGAGCACUGGUUGCUCUUGGGUACUGUCUAGUUGCCAAAAAUGUCAGACGGGCAAGAUGAAAAUCCUUUUGGAAGCAGCUCCGGGUUUGCAAGAACGACGGUGCAAAAUGCAAAGUUCGAAGUGGAAAAGUUUGAUGGCACACAAACAACUUCGGGAUGUGGCAAUGUGAGGUCAAAGAUGUGUUGGCUCAACAAGAUCUACUUGCCGCGUUGGGAGAGAAGCCGGAAACUAUGUCGAAGCCGGAAUGGGAAAAAUUAAAUUUGUGGGCUUGCUCUUCAAUUCGGUUGUGCCUUGCAAAAACUCAGAAGUAUUUUGUGAUGCGGGAGACGGUAGCAAGUGUGUGUUGUGGCAAAAAUUGGAAGACAAGUAUAUGACAAAGAGUGCAGAGAACCGACUACACUUGAAGAAAAAAGCUCUACCGCUUCCAAUACAAAGAAGGUACAAAAAUGAUUAGACACCUUGAUGCUUUUAAUAAGUUGAUUGCCGACUUGUUAAAUUUAGAUGAGGAUAUUAAGGAUGAAGAUAAGGCCUUAAUAUUGUUGAAUUCCUUGCCGGACUCUUAUGAGCAUUUUGUUACAACUAUUAUGCAUGGUAAAGAAACUGUGAAAUUUGAAGAUGUGUCAAAUGCCUUGAUGAAUUAUGAAAUGAGGCAUAGAGAUAAAAAUCAUGAUAGUACCUCUGAAGCUUUAUUUGUUAGAGGUAGAUCAUCGGAGAGGAGGUCAUCUUCUAGCAGGAAAAAAUCACAGUCUCGACCUAGAGGAAACUCUAAAGGUAGAAAACCUUUGGAAAGGGAUGAAUGUGCCUUUUGUCGUAAUAAGGGCCAUUGGAAGAAAGAUUGUCCCAAAUUGAAGACCAAAGGAAAAGAAAGUUCUGAAGCUAAUGUUGCUGAGGUUGAAACAGAUUUUUCUGAUUUUGCUUUAACCACUUCCUCAUCAUUUGAUUGUGCUACUAAGUGGGUGUUGGAUACGGGUUGUACUCAUCAUAUGACUCCUCACAAGGAUUGGUUUUCAAGCUUGAAAGAGUUUUGAUGGUGGCGUUGUGUUCAUGGGAGAUGACAAUCCUUGCACAACAAAAGGGAUUGGUACAGUUCGUUUGAAGUUGCAUGAUGGCAUGGUUAAAGAGUUGACAGGUGUUCGGUAUGUACCGAAUUUGAAGAAAAAUCUUAUUUCUUUGGGUACUUUGGAAUCUAAGGGUUUCAGGUUUCAUUCAGAUGGACAGACAUUGAAAGUUACUUAUGGUGCACUUGUUGUGAUGAAAGCUCCUAGAUGUGGCCAUUUGUAUUUAUUGCAGGGAAGCACUGUGACAGGUGAAGCAUCUGUAGUCUCUGAAAAUAUGGGCACAUCUGAUUCAGAUACUACUAGAUUGUGGCAUAUGAGAUUAGGCCAUGCCGGUGAGAAAGCUCUACAAGGGCUUGUGAAAAAAUGUCUUCUAAAAGGUGCCACGACUUGUAAGCUUGAUUUCUGCGAGCAUUGUGUCUUGGGAAAGCAAACUAGAGUGAAGUUUGGUACUGCUGUACAUCAGACGAAGGGCAUUCUUGAUUAUGUGCAUUCGGAUGUUUGGGGUCCUACAAAGACUCCCCUCUUUGAGUGGUAGACAUUGGUUCGUGACCUUUGUUGAUGAUUAUUCAAGAAGGUCUUGGGUCUACACUAUGAAGCAUAAGAGUGAGGUGUUAAGCAUUUUCUUGGGUUGGAAGAAAAUGGUUGAGAACCAGACUGGGAGAAAGAUUAAGAUUUUGAGAUCGGAUAAUGGUGGUGAAUACACAUCCGAUCCUUUCUUUAAAGUUUGCAAAGAGGAAGGAAUUGUGAGACAUUUCAGUGUUCGGGGAACUCCACAACAAAAAUGGAGUUGCAGAAAGAUUGAAUCGAACCUUGCUUGAGAAAGGUUAGAUGUAUGUUGUCUCAGUCGGGUUUAAGCAAGUCAUUUUGGGCAGAAGCAGUUAAUUAUGCAUGUCACAUCAUCAACCGGUUACCCUCAGCUGCUAUUCAGGGUAAGACACCAAUGGAGGUAUGGACUGGAAAACCUUCUUCUGAUUAUGAUCAUAUUCGUAUUUUUGGUUCACCUGCUUAUUUUCAUGUAACUGAAAAUAAACUUGAUCCUAGAGCCAAAAAGGCUAUCUUUCUUGGUUUUAGUAGUGGUGUCAAAGGUUACAGGUUGUGGUGUCCAGAGAUGAAGAAACUGGUAAUUAGUAGAGAUGUGACAUUUGACGAAGAAAGUAUGUACAAAGUCUCUGAGAAGAAUGUGAAAGAUGUCCAACAGGUGGAGCUUGAGAAAGUUGCUUCUGGUACUUCAAAUCCUAUUUCCGCUGAUGUCGAAGCCACUACAAGUGAAGAAGUUGGAGACCAUGAGGAUGUUGAAGAAGUUGAACUUGAAGAUUCUAUUCAAGUUGAAGAGCAAGUUUCACCUCAAGAGUCUAUUGCCAAGAACAGAGGAAAGAGACAAAUUACUAAGCCAGCUCGGUAUAGUGAUUAUGUUGCUUUUUGCUCUUCCUAUUAUCACUGAAGAGAUUCCAUCCAAUUUUGAGGAAGCUAUUGAGAGUGAGGAGAAGAAUAGGUGGUGCAAUGCCAUGGGUGAUGAGAUGAAUUCUCUCUUGAAGAACAAGACUUGGGAGUUAGCUAAAUUGCCUAAGGGCAAGAAAGCUAUUGGUUGCAAAUGGGUGUAUGCCAAGAAGGAAGAUGCUGAUGAGAAAAGCAAUGUGAGAUUUAAAGCAAGAUUAGUUGCUAAAGGGUAUGCACAAAAGGAGGGCAUUGACUACAAUGAAAUCUUUUCUCCGGUUGUGAAGCACUCCUCAAUUCGCAUUAUGUUAGCUCUUGUUGCACAGUAUGAUCUUGAGCUUGUGCAACUUGAUGUAAAAACGGCUUUCCUACAUGGUGAUUUGAAUGAAGAGAUUUAUAUGUGUCAACCAGAUGGGUAUAUAGUGAAAGGGAAGGAGAAUUUGUUUUGCAAAUUGAAGAAAUCACUUUAUGGUUUGAAGCAAUCUCCAAGGCAAUGGUAUUUGAGGUUUGAUAAAUUUAUGAGAGGCCAAAAUUAUUCUAGAAGUCAAUAUGAUCAUUGUGUGUACUUCAAGAAGUUGCAAGAUGGGUCUUUCAUUUAUUUAUUGAUAUAUGUUGAUGAUAUGUUGAUUGCCUCAAAGAAUGUCGAAGAGAUUGAGAAAUUGAAGAAGCAAAUGAAGAAUGAGUUUGAGAUGAAGGAUCUUGGUGAAGCGAAGAAGAUCCUUGGCAUGGAGAUCACUAGAGAUAGAGCAAAGGGUUUCGUCAGUUUGAAUCAAAAACAAUACCUUGAGAAGUUGAUUCGGAAGUUUGGAGUUCAUGAUUCAACCAAACCGGUUAGUACCCCUUUGGCUCCUCAUUUUAAAUUGAGUUCUCUACAAUGUCCUAAAAUCGAUAAAGAGAAACUGCAAAUGAAAAAUAUACCAUAUGCAAAUUUGGUUGGUAGUUUGAUGUAUGCAAUGGUAUGCUCUAGACCGGAUAUUGCUCAUGCAGUUGGCAUGGUGAGUCGAUAUAUGCAUAAUCCAAGUAAAGAGCAUUGGCAAGCAGCUAAGUGGAUAUUGAGGUAUCUCCAUGGUACUCGAGAUGUUGGUUUAUGCUUUGAGAGGGAUGACUCUGGUAUUGGUCAUUUUGCAGUUGGUUAUGUUGAUUCAGAUUAUGCAGGUGAUCUGGAUGGAAGGAAGUCUACUACAGGCUAUGUGUUUACUAUGGCUAAAGGGCCAGUUUGUUGGAGGUCCAUUUUGCAGUCGUCUGUUGCCUUGUCUACUACAGAGGCUGAAUAUAUGGCAGUUGCUGAAGCUAUAAAGGAGGCCAUUUGGAUACAUGGGCUUAUUAGAGAUUUGGGGGUUGAUCAGAAGCAGGUGGAGGUACAUUGUGAUAGUCAGAGUGCCAUUUAUUUGGCUAAGUAUCAGGUUCAUCAUGCGAGGACCAAGCACAUAGAUGUGCGUUAUCACUUUGUUCGUGAAAUUGUUGGUGAAGGGGAAAUCAUUCUCCAGAAGAUUCCAACUAAAGACAACCCCGCUGAUAUGUUGACUAAGGUUGUUGGUGUAGCCAAGUUUGUUCACUGUUUGAACUUGGCUCACAUUUUGCCUAUAUAAAGAAGGCGUUGAGUAGUAGGAGUUUUGGAGCAUUUGGCUCAGCAUGAGUUGUUCUCUUGCUAGUGUUUGGGAGUGAUGUUGUGUGCUAAUUGUGUUGGUUGGCUUAUCAUGGCGUUUUCGGAACUUGGCCAAGGUGGAGAUUGUUGGAUUAUGUGGCCAAGUGGCCAUAUACUUUAGAUUAAACAAACCAAAGGUGGACAACACCUUUCCUUGUUUUGGGGAGGAAAAUAGGGAAAAGGUUUUUUGUCUUGGUCCAUGGGAAGUCACGGUUGAGGUUUUGAAUAAUAAGUUUUGGUUGUAAUGAGAAGUAAGAGUGGGAUAGAAGAGAAGAAAAUAGAGUGCAGAAAAUUGAGAGAGCCGAAGAGAAGAGAGGGAGAGAAAGAAGGUACUGCUACAGUACCAUUUUCAGAGAAGGGGUUGUUGUUCCUUUCAUUGGAUAAUUCUCACUCCAUCAAAGUGUUAUUGUUGUAAUAGCUUUGAGCUUUGUAUAGAGAAGAAAUUAAUCACUAUAUUUCUUUCUCUAUUUGUUUCUUUGGAGUGUGAGUUAUUGGGUUAUUUGGGUUGUGAGAUUGCCAACACUUUGUAACUCCCAUUUGGUUGAUAGUGGAUUCUUGGGUGAGCUCCUACUGCUCCGAGGACGUACUCCAGUUACACUGACUGUUGAGGAACCUCGUUAAAAUCUUGGUGUCUUUAAUAUUUUGUUCUUGCAUUUUAUUUGAUAUAUUUCCUGUGGGUUAGCUUGAGUUGGUUCCACAAGGGUUUGGUGCUAUCCUAGCACAACAUCUUACUGGUGCACAUGAUUUAAAGAAAUAUACCAGCUGAUGCAAGGGCUGAUCUUCUUCGUUGGAGUAGAUAGUACGCGGUGCAAAGCACUAGAGCAGCAGCUAUAGAAAUGCCAAUCCAAACCCAUUUAUCUGCUGCAUCAUAAACAAUUAGCUAGCAACAUAUGCAAUCAGCGUAACACACACGCACAUGUACGCAUUAAUUGUCUUCAAUUUUUGGAUGAACUAGGUCUUGCAGGUUUCUUCCAGAAAACGAAGAAAAAUCCGAGACAGAGAGCAGAACUUAAGACAACAAUAACAAAGAUAGAGGUACCUAAUAAUACUGAUUCCACGCGUGUCACAGAUUUCCGGCUUAAAUCGGGUUUGCAGCCUCGGUAUAUAUCCUUCGGAUCAAGAAAAGAAAACCCUUUUGGGCAUUCGCAGGUUGGCCUUUUAUCUGGUUUGAGCUUACAGGUACUGUUGUAACCGCAAACACCAACGCCCAGUCGUAGGCAAAUAUCAUCCGGCAUAUACACCAGAGGACUAAUCCAGCUUGCAUUUCCAGUGAAGUAUUUCGGGUGAGAAUAUAAAGCGAAAAUCCCAUCAAAAUCAAGAGUUGCCCUUAUGUAGUUGUCCCUCACCGACACUCCCUCUGUCCCCUUAAGAGGGACUCUUCCAUCAUUUUCUCUCAGAACAGACAUGUCCCCUGAGCUGCUGAACACCAAUUCUUUGCCUUGACUACCUGGCACGUUCCCUGCGGUGGUCUUCGUGGAGAAGUAAGCUUUCUUGGCCUUAUCUGUUGUCAAGUUGACGGAAAUGAGCACGAGGUUUCCAUCAUCUUGCAAGCGCAGCUGGAACCGCCCUUUUGUGUAGUUAGUCUCCGAUUGUCUACACGAAAGCUUCCCAUUUCUCUCAAUUGUCUGUCCAGGCAAAACGGUGUCUGUAGGAUUGCUGAAGGUCUCCCACAAGCUCCCCGAGUUUUGGUGUUGAAGGACAAAGUUUCCGGUGUCAUUCAUGACCCCGUUCGCAACAGUCCCCAAGGUUAUUUCGGAUUUCCAUAUCUCUCCACCCUGAGGAUUGUUAAGAACUAGUCCACUGUUGGCAGUCAAGUUCAGAACUGAUCCCCUAGGUGCAACCAUGGGGUUGUUACCGUCGUAUGCAUACCAAACCACGGUUUUGUCUGGGAUAUUCGCAUACCAUAUCGAAAGCAAGAAAAGAUCAUUGUUUCCGAGGGGCGAAAAUCCAAACUCGAAAUCACCGGAUGGAGAAAGCCAUGAUGAGGAGUCGCCUAUAGUUGCAGUUAGAGAACUCCCAACUGCUACUCUUCCAUUAUUUUGGGAAAUCACAGAAAUUGGUAGCAAAAACAAAGAGAACAAAAGCAUCUCUACAGAAAGAGCCACUGCCAUUGCAAAAGCACCAAUUUUUCAACUUGGCUUAACUGAUUAGCUAUAUUUCUUAGUAAAGCAUUGGUCCUUGUUUAUAUCUUCAAGUAAAUGUGUGUGCAUGUGCCUGUCAUUUUCUAAGUUUUUGCCUGGAAUCAUUUUUUGAAGUCAAUGUUACCCAUCAGCCACGAUAUGACCUCAGACCUCGCUACAUCACACACAAUAAUAUCUCCGGGCCUACAGAAUAAUUUCUCCAAACCUACACAUAUCACAAGAAUUUCACUUUGAAAAAAAUAAUAUAAUGAACAGUUUUAUAUAUAAGACACCGAUACCGAUACUUUUUGUGAUAGAACUUAUUGUCUCUCUCAAUUCCUUGUAAUGUUGCAAGUUGGAGCAAUAUUGAUGUAAUUAGUAAUGGCCCGCUAACUUGCCUCUCUCAAAUCUCUUUUCAUCCUACUCUCGUCCCUCGUCCGUUUUAUGAUUCUACUUAAUUAAGCACUUAUAAGUGUUCCAAAUCAAACUUGUAACUUAAAUAAUUAAAAAUAUUUAUCACUACACUGGGGAUUCUAGGUUCCAAAAUAUAAUAUAUAAUAUAUAUGAAUGUUCCAAACCAAAAGGACAAGUAAAUACGAGCAUGACUCACGCUGCAUGUGUCGGCCAUUCAAGUCCACAAGUCAAAAUUCAACAAUGGGGCCCACAAAGAAAAUUUGAAAAAGUACAUGCAGAUUGAGGACGUAUACAAAGAAUCUGAAAACAAACCUCCAGGACCAAACAAAGACGACUAAGUCUCCAUUUCUGUAUUCACACAAACCAAAGUACUAACUGAAGUUUUUAAUGUAUGAUUACGUCAUUGGGGUAAAACACCCGAGGCCGAGUUGAGAUAAUCACAGGGUUGGGGAAUCGAGAUCCUCUCCGAAUGUCACAGUCUGGCACAAACGAACGUAGAGAUCCGAACCACUUAUUUUAAAUUCUACGGUCUUCAUUAGCCUAUCCUAUUGGCCCACAUCACACAAGGGGCCCAAAUCUUUCUCUCCCCUCUCUUGAACGGUUUGGAUAUCUCGGUCUGUCGAUUUUGGAUUGGGAGAUUCAAAGAGAAUUUGAUUUCGGGUUUGAGGUGUGGUUCGCCGACCAUUUGAAGCUCGUUGAGGCGUGGCCCAUCUCAUCCACGUCGGGAUAGCCAUUUCGUACCAAGUUGGAUCCCAGGUCAGGCCAGUCAUUUCAUUAGCCUAAGAUAGACCUGACAGACGAGGCGCUUGGAUAUUGCCUACCGCGACCAAAUGGACCCAUGGGCUCAUUAGAUGAUGAGUCUGGACCCUGGGGUGUGUAAAGCCCACCUCAGCUCGAUCCAUAUUCGGUCGAUACUUAAGGGAAGGUGGAUAUGGGGUAAAGGUAGAGUAAGCUCCAAGCCAUGUGGAGGUCAGUCGAGAUUGAACACACAUUCAUAGAAUCAUAGUAUGAAAUUCAAGUCCAAAUUUUAACACUACGAAACCGAAAAGCAUGCAACUCCGAAGAGCAUUGUUUCAGUCCAACAACCUAAACUUCCUUAAAAAACUAAGACAAAAACGACGACACUAGUAAACGGAAAAACAUGCAACUCAGAAAACCAUUGCUCUAGUCUAAAUGAGGUUCCUCAAUGCCUCAAGCUUUUCUAAACACCAUAGCCUGAACCUUUUCCUUUGCGCCUUCUUUGCUUCACCAGAAACGUUCUUAAUGAGCUUCCUUCAAAUUUGGGACGAGCAGGCAUUAGGCUGUGCACAAUGCUGUAAAUGCCCCUAGCCCUUGCCACACCCUAGGUGCGUACGCUUGCAUGUCCGACCUGAGUUAUCUCAUUACGCGCGCAGUUUGAUCUUCCCGUAUUGACAUCCCUGCUGUCUAUUCUCAUGCGAAUCCUUUUGCUGGUGACUUCAUCCGGGUCCAUUUUCUUGCUCCUCAGUGCAUGUUCAUCUGCUUUUCCCUAUUAAUAAAUAUAGGAAUCCCAUAACAAACAGCAUUUGACAAAACAGAACGUAAUAAUAACAACAAAACUUGACUUCAUCCUCAUUGCAUGUUCAUCUGCUUUUCCACUUCAAAGCAGCUGACGGCACGAUUCGUACUUGGACUCCAAGAUGUCUAGAUUAUGGAGAAACUAUCCCUUUGUCCAAAACACACAAAGAAGUGGAUUUUCCGUUUAUACCAAGUGUGUUGAAGCAUGUCCCACAUGGCCACAUCGGAAACUUGUUGAAGUUUAAAUCCUCUUAUAUAGAAAGUUCGACUACUAAUUGCCUUGAGGCCUUAAUUUUGUAUAAAACCAUACCUAUUGAAUUGCACACGUGCUUAAGUUAAGGUUAGUAUUAAUGGUAAUUAGUAGUGGGCCGCUGGUCGUCUUCAAAAAACUGGUACAAAGGGAAGAUUUAUAGAAGCAGUGUUGAGAUAAAGGCAAUUCAUCUGUUCUUUUUAGAAGGAUAUAAAUGAAGCAAGGUUUAUCUGCUCACCCGUAAUGCGGCUCAGCCCUUCAUCAAAAAGUGAAAUAUCAAAAUUACUUUUACAGCAAGAGCAAUACCAGAAGAUGUAAUCUAAAUUGUUUAUAUUUGGUUCCCUUGAAAUCCUUUUGACUGUUUCAACAUAGUAUAUGUUGGUAUUUAAAAGUUUAGAAACUUAAUACCAAUUAUGUGGGUGAUAGGUUUUCUAACUCUAUCACACCUCUAUCUCUUUUACUCUCUUUGAAAAUGGAUCGAUAGAAAGAAAAAACAGCAAGCUUCUUAAAGAAACAAGUACUUGAUAUAUUAAAAGAGUUUCAACUCUAUUGCUGAAAAUAUGGAAUGGAAUUACAAAGAGCCUUACGGAAAGGCAUUCUUAUACUUGCAAAAAACAAGAGAACCACACAAGUGGUUUUCAUAAACAAAUGCAAACAAAGACUUUCUAGACUUAGCUAGUGGAAAACUAUCCAUGCAAAAUAAAAUAAAGGGGUUCAAAGUCUUUACUUGCAGCAGUUUUAGACUAUUGAACACACACACACACACACUACUUUAUUCUAGUGGUUUACAACCACAUUUCGGCUAGCACAGAAGAGAAGCAUUAAUUUGGGUAAGUGCAGGAAGUAUGAGUCAAAAGAAACAGCUAGCAGCCCACUAACAUUGAAAUAAUGUUUUUAUUUGAACUUCCAACACUCCCCCUCAAAUCAAAACACCUUCAUUCCUAGCAUGUCAUGCAGCAGCCGGAAUGAUUCAAUUGGCAGUGGCUUUGUGAAGAUGUCAGCCACUUGUUCCUUGGUGUGACAAUAGAUAAGCUCAAUUAUCUUUUGCUUCACAUGAUCCCUCAGAAAAUGGAACCUGGUAUCGAUGUGCUUGCUCCUUCCAUGUUGAACAGGAUUCUUUGCAAGCUUGAUUGCAGACAUGUUAUCCACAUGAAUCACAGUAGAUUCCACUUGUGGAUGACAUAAAGAUUUCAACAGAUUUCUUAACCAAAUUGCCUCACACACAGUUAAGGCUGCAGCAACGUACUCGGCUUCACACGAUGACAGAGCAAUAAUUGAUUGCUUCUUUGAAGUCCAUGAGAAAGCUGUUGAUCCUAGAAAAAACACAUAGCCAGUUGUACUUUCCCUUUCAUCUUGGUCACCUCCCCAAUCACUAUCUGAAUAACCAAAUAAUUUUGCAUCUUCACCAAAAUUAUAAAACAGACCAUAGUUUAGAGUGCCUCUUAUGUACCUUAAAAUUCUCUUGGCAGCCAACCAAUGAGACUCAUUUGGUGUUUCCAUGUACCGACUCACGAGUCCAACACCAUAAACUAUAUCUGGUCUUGUGAUUGUAAGGUACCUCAAGCUUCCAACGAGGCUUUUGUACACGGUUGAGUUUACAAGCUCACCUUCUCCUUCCUUGGACAGUUUCAAUCCAGUUGCAACUGGAGUGUUGACAAUAUUGCACUUGUCCAUAUUGAAUUUCUCCAAUAUAUCUCUCAUGUACUUUUGUUGAGAGAUGUAGAUACCGUUACUUUCUUGCUUCACCUCUAUGCCAAGAAAGUAUGACAUUAAUCCAUUGUCAGUCAUCUCGAAUUCACUGAACAUGGAUUGCUUGAACUCACAGAACAUUGCUUCAUUGUUUCCUGUAAACAACAAGUCAUCUACAUAGAGACAAAUAAUUAAGAACUCCCAUUUUUCACCGUUCUUCAUGUAAACUGAAUGCUCGUAUGGACAUUUCUGAAAUCCAUUUUGGUGAAGGUAGUUAUCAAUCCUUGAGUUCCAAGCUCGUGGUGCUUGCUUGAGGCCAUACAAAGCCUUUUUCAAAUGAUACACCUUAUCUUCUUCUCCUUGUACUCGGAAGCCUUCCGGUUGUUUCACGUACACUUCUUCCUCAAGAACUCCAUUAAGGAAGGCUGACUUGACAUCUAGUUGAUAAAUUUUCCAUUUAUGAUGAGUGGCAAGAGAGAUUAGCAAUCUUACCGUGUCAAGUCUUGCAAUUGGAGCAUAGACUUCAUCAUAGUCCACUCCAUACUUCUGUUUGUAGCCCUUUGCUACAAGCCUUGACUUGUAUCAAUCCACACUCCCAUCUGCAGUGCGUUUGAUCUUGUACACCCACUUGACACCAAUAGCCUUCUGAUUUGGUGGGAGCUUUGUCAACUCCCAAGUGUCAUUCUUCUCGAUGGCAUGGAUUUCUUCCUCCAUGGUUAUUCUCCAACGAUCUUCUUCCACAGCUUCAUUGAAUGAGAGAGGCUCGUGGUCUACAUACAAGCAGAAAAAAUUGGUUUCUUCUUCUUCUUCUUGUCCAUAUAUCUCGGUGAGACUUCUUAGCCUCACUGGAGUUGAUGAGCUGCUUUCCUCACUGGAUGUAGGACCACUCCUUGCAAUUCUGUGCACUGGAGUUAUUGUGGUUAUUUGAGCAGGUUGUUGCUAGAUAGGUGGUACAACUUCUGGUUCUUCAAAAUCAGUGGAAACAAUCUUCUCUUUACUGACUUCUUUGUUGUUCCACUUCCAUGCAUCUUCCUCACUGAAGAUGACAUCUCCACUAACCACUAAUUUGCCAGUUAGUGGGUUGUAGAGCUUAUAUGCCUUUGACUCUUCACUAUAGCCCACAAACACACACUUUUCACCUCGAUUAUCAAGCUUCCUCCUCUUGGCUUCUGGAACCUGAGCAUAUGCAACACACCCAAAAACUCUUAGGUGUGCAACAUUCGGCUUGUAUCCACUCCAAGCCUCUUGUGGUGUCAUCCUCUUGACACUCUUUGUUGGACAUCGAUUCAACAAAUAAAUUGAACAAGCUACAGCUUUUGCCCACAAUUCUUUUGGCAAAUUCUUCUCCUUAAGCAUGGACCUUGCCAUGUCAAGGAUGGUUCGAUUCUUUCUUUCGGCUAUUCCAUUUUGCUGUGGGGUAUAGGCAGUAGUCAGUUGAUGCCUAAUUUCUUGCUCCUUGCAAUAUGCUUGGAAAGCAUUGGAGGUGUACUCUCCACCUCUAUUUGAUCUCACAGCCACAAGCUUGUGGUUGCUUUCAGCCUCUGUGAGUGCCUUGAACUCCUUGAAAACUUUUAGGGCAGCUGACUUCUCCUUGAGAAAAUAGACCCAAGUCUUCUUACUGAAAUCAUCAAUGAAGGUAAUAAAAUACCUAUUACCUCCAUAGGACAUAGGAUCUAACGGACCACAUAUAUCCGUAUGUACCAACUGCAGUGGUGCUUUUGCUCUCCAUGCAUCACCAACAGGGAAUGUGAGCCGUGUUUGCUUGCCAAGCACACAACCUUCACAUACUUGGCGUGUGGCUUCAAUCUGGGGUAGACCACGAACCAUUCCUCCACUUGACAGCAACUUUAGGCCAUUGAAAUGAAGAUGGCCAAACCGAAGAUGCCAUUUCCAUGACUUAUCUUCCAUUACACCGAUGUUGCAACUCCCAAUCCUUGUGUUCAACUUCAAUGGGAACAUUCGGUUCUUUGACAUUUGAACACGUGCAAUAAGUUUUCUCCUUGCAUUCCUAAGAGUGAGAAACAUAUCCUCCAUAUGUAUAAUAUACCCUUUCUGGAGCAGUUGACCAACGCUCAGAAUGUUGCUCUUCAUACCUGGUAUGUAGUAGGUAUCGAAGAUGUAUUCUUCUCUACCAUCCUUCUGGAUGAUUUUGAUCUUUCCUUUGCCUUCAACUGGCAACUUUGAGGAGUCACCAAGACUCACAGAUCCAUAAGGCCCAUCUUUGAGUUCGGCAAAAAACUCUUUCUUUCCACACAUAUGGUUGCUUGCACCAGAGUCCAAAUACCAAACAUCUUGUUGGUUACUGGAAUCAUGGUGUGCUAGUAAGACUGUAAAUUCCUCACCAGCAUUUCCACUUGAUUCUGCCAUGUUGACAUGCUCACCAUUUUUAUAUGAACAUUCACCUUUCCCAGACCCUGCGUAAAGCGGGAGCCUUGUGCACUGGGUACGACCUUUUUUUUUUUUUUUAUUCAUUGGCAUAAUGUCCAUAUUGCUUGCAACUGUGACACUGGAUAUGUGCCUUUCCUCGAGUAGAUCUGCAUUCUUGAGACUGAGCUCGAUUUUGUGCAUAGCCUCUACCUCUUCCUCGGGCUCGUCCUCGGCUACAGUUGGAUGAAUUCCCACGACGUGAGUUCCACUGCCCACGACCUCCAUUUGGUUUGUCAAUAUUCAACUUUGACUCCAAAGCUUGCUCUAGCGUUGUGGGGCUUGCAUUCUUCUGAAUGCGUUGCUCGUGAACUAUGAGGGAUCCUAGUAGCUCCUCUGCGCUCAUCGCCUCCAAAUCCUUGGAUUCCUCAAUGGCAGUCACCACAUGCUCAAACUUAGAUGUGAGUCAUGUGAGUGACUGGAGUAUCUUCUCCACAACUCGUACUUCAUCGAGUCUCUCGCUAUUUAUCCUCAUCUGAUUUACUAUCACAAUGAGCCUUGAGUGAUAGUCGGAGAUGCUCUCCCCUUCAUUCAUGUGAGUAGUUUCAAAAUCUGCUCGAAGUGACUGUAACCUCACUUUCUUGACUCGAUCUACUCCUUUGUAGAUUGUACUGAGUGUGUCCCAUACUUGCUUGCUCGUUGUUGCUUCUGCAACCUUCUCAAACGUUGAAUCUUCUAGACCCUGGUAUAGAAGAUACAACGCCUUCUGGUCCUUCUUUCGUAAGUCCUUGAGAGUGUUCCUUUGUUCUGCAGUAUAUGCGGCUUCUUGAUUGGCAGUGGGUACAACAUACCCAUUACUGACAACUUCCCAUAGCUCCUGUGAUCCAAACAAUGCUUUGAAUUGGAUGCACCAUCUUUCAUAAUUUUCUUUCUUCAAUGUGGGAACCUGGAGCUGCACUAAGUUGGACGCCAUAACUGCUGCACUUGCCAGAAUGGUAUUCUGGCUCUGAUACCAAUUGUUGGUAUUCAAAAGUUUACAAACUUAAUACCAAUUAUGUGGGUGAUAGGUUUUCUAACUCUAUCACACCUCUCUCUUUCUUUUACUCUCUUUGAAAAUGGAUUGAUAGAAAGAAAAAACAACAAGCUUCUUAAAGAAACAAGUACUUGAUAUAUUAAAAGAGUUUCAACUCUAUUGCUGAAAAUAUGGAAUGGAAUUACAAAGAGCCUUACGGAAAUGCAUUCUUAUACUUGCAAAAAACAAGAGAACCACACAAGUGGUUUUCAUAAACAAAUGCAAACAAAGACUUUCUAGACUUAGCUAGUGGAAAACUAUCCAUGUAAAAUAAAAUAAAGGGGUUCAAAGUCUUUACUUGCAGCAGUUUUAGACUAUUGAACACACACACACACUACUUUAUUCUAGUGGUUUACAACCACAUUUCGGCUAGCACAGAAGAGAAGCAUUAAUUUGGGUAAGUGCAGGAUGAGUCAAAAGAAACAGCUAGCAGCCCACUAACAUUGAAAUAAUGUUUUUAUUUGAACUUCCAACACUAUAUGCAGAGAGAACCAGAACCAAGUCCAGACUCACUCGUAAUAGGUCUCUCCUCAUCCACAACAAUAUCCCAGCUUUCCCUUGUCGUGGUUUUCCCAUAUUUGUGCACCUUACUGCAAAGAGAGAGCAAGUUAACUUGUCAAAGAAAAACCAGAACAAUAGAUGCCAAUGCAGUUCAGAAAGUUUAUUUCCCUUCAUACCCAUUUCCAAAGUGCUCUUCUCCCCAUGUCCUUGACCAACCUAGACAUGAGAGAACAAAAACAAAGUCACAUCAGAUUAAAUUAUUGAAAGAAAAAGGUUCACUUACAAAUCGACAUUAGAAUCAAGCAACCACGCUAUGAAAUACAAAUUUAAAAUGUAACAAUUUACUGUGUCUGAAAGGAAUCUGUGAAAUAAAAUAGUUAAACCCUAAACAGCACCACUGCAAAUAGCAUAAGAAAAUUAAAAUUAACCCUAAAGAAAUUGGGAGAGAAGAAUAUGAAAAGGGAAUACCUUUCGGCCCUUUGAGUUAUUGGAAAAAACCCAACAGAGCAAAAGAUAAACAAAAAUACAGGAGGAAAGAAAAUAAAUUUUCAACUUGUAAGAUUCAUACACGAACAGAUUGGCGGUCAAAAGCAUUUCGAAACUCAGAGCCAUCAAGCUUUUUGAUCUGCAUGGAAAUUAUUUAUGAAGUUUGAGAUUCUUAUAGAUGCUUUAGACACAUCGACAUAUUGAAAAAGCAAUAUUCAACAACCUAGUACCCAUGCUCCCUAGAAGGGUACAGAAAAUAUGAAUGUCUGGACUCUGGAGUGAGAAAGUAAAAGGACUUGCCGCAUACUUCAUAUCUUCCAAGUUUGUGUAGUCUACAAUCCCUGUUGUGCCUACAAAAAAGGCAUAGGACAAAAGCUAAAUCAAUCGAAAUUCUGAUGUCUCAUGAUCUAGGUCUUAGGAUUAAACUACUGAAAUAACACUACAUGAAAUAGCUGUGUAUAUCCCAAAAAAAGUAUGAAAUCUGGUUGAUAAUUGAAGACUUCGAAGGGAUUUACCUUUGGAUUCUUUGGCUUUCAGAUGGAGUUUGCUUAUGUGUGGGGGAGAGAGGUGGAGCGGCUAGGGCUUGAGUAUGGAAGAGAUGAAAAAUGCAGAGAGCACCUGUUUUCGCUGAAGCAACUCACACACUCUGGACAAAUCUGCAAAUGUCUAAAAGGGGGAAAAUAUAAAAAGAAACCUUAACAACUGAAUUCAAAGAAACAUUAUUACAUUGUAAAUAACAUUUCACAAAAAAAAAAAAAAAAAAAAAAAACUGAACUAAACUAAUUACACUCGGAUUGCAAUGCUAUCAUUUAAUAAUAGGAAUUCCCAUAACUUAGCAGAAGACCUGCAUCUGCAAAGGAUUCUUUAAAACCUAUUUUUUUUGAACAACCCCGCACCUACAACACAUCCAGGCAAGGUAAACCAAUAGCACCCUCAUUCUAAGCUCUUCUGUGCAUAUAUACCCCUUAUAAGUAAUCUUAAUCAAUCAGUUAUCAUGAAUAUAGUCAGUUAUCACGAAUAUACAACUUAUAUUAAUUUUCUACAAUAUCCAACACACAAAUAUAACAGAAGAGGAAACUUUUACUUAAGCAGCACAAAAUGAUAUCCUUUGCAUUUCAUUCCAAAAUCCAUCACUCUUAUGUCUUUGCCUGCACAGUUUUUGCUCCAACAUAGCCCGCCAUGAUGAUAGCACUAUCAAUAAUUAAGACAUAAAGAAAGGCUAUCCUAGCUAGGUAUUAUCAUUGGAGUAAACCAACAACACCAUAAGUAAAGUAGCAGACCAAAUUUUUUCUAGAAUUGAUGUCUUAACAUGUUUAAGUAGCGAAAAGAUUACAACACAUUGGAUGUGUUAACACAUCCAUAAGCUAAUGACUCCCUCUCCGGAUCACUACAUCAUUCUUAAUGUAUUCAACAAUGCAGCAGCAAUUAAAAGUCCUUGGAAAAUGCCAAGCUACUACAAUGACAUAACGAAAAACUAUAUCUCACCUUACCCCCUUGUUGGCAUAGACUGCAUAUCCGCCCUUGUUCGGGGUGAAUCAUAAUCCUGAACUCAAUUAUCAUCAUCGUUGAGAAUGUCAAACUUUAAAUCAACCAUGCAUGGAACAAAACUUAGAAAUUAAACAAUUAUCAAAGCUUAUGAAGAAUGCUAAACCCAACUAAUUCGAAACAUAAAGUAACCCAAAAGAGAGAAAACUUAUAAAUUUUACAUAAAUUAUAAUCCUUAACAGAAGGAUGGAACAAAGCAGGUUCAUUCUUGAGAAUAGAUGUAAUUUUGCACAUUGCAUAUAUGUAGAUUAAGGCUGGUGGUAACAUACCUUGUAAUUUGUACAAAUUAGGAUUUUCAUUCAAAGAACCAUAAUAUACACAAUUACAAAAACAGUGAUUCAAACUUGUUCUUCUCUUAAGGAAAUUACUCACAGUUGAAAUUCUGAAUGGACGAAGUUUUGGCAUCCCUUUCUGACUAUAUUUGAUUAACCUUUUUUUAAUCCAAUGAGUGCCUUCAUGAGAGAGAGAGAGAGAGAGAGAGGAAUAUUAGGUGAAAUGUAUUGCCAAAUCACACAGAGAUCAAAAUCUUGAAUAUAUAUGUUUAACCAUAUCAAAGUGAGUGUGUGAAAGGGUGUAGUCUGCAGAAAGGGCAACAUUUUCACUGCUAGAAAGUUGGAAACUAAACUUUUACACAGAUAUUGGAUUUUAUUAAUUCCCUCCGCGAAUUGAAAAGCAAAUUGUUCGAGUAAUGCAGGUAAAUUCGAUAUACAUAUGCGUUGAUCUAUGUAAGACAGUUAUAAGUUAUAACUGUAUCGUCUUAACACAAAAAUGAUCAUAAAUGUAAGUGUCUGUAUUAUGGAAGUAAGGGACUUACAGCAAUUGCUAUGAGCUAUAACAGCAGUCACUCCAAGUACCCUAUUAUGGAAGUAAGGGACUUAUAUCAAUUGCUAUGAGCUCUACCAGCAGUCUCUCAAAGUGGUGCAACGGCUAAAAUUAUAAAUAAAAAGUAAUUUAAACAAUUUAACUUAAUAAAAUAUUGUAAUUUAAACAAUGCCUAUAUAUUCAAACAUCCCAAAACAGGAAUGAACUUCCAAAAAACAUGCGCAUGAAAAUAAACGGCAUUACUCACCCAUUGAGUUGGACCAUCAAACUGGAGCGUAAGAAGGAUCAUCAUGUACCUAUGAAACCCAAAGGAAACUUUUAGCAACCCCAAAGCUUGUAUGCAAGCGUGAAUAAGUAUGCGUGUAUGAAUCUAUUCAUAGUGAAGAAGGCUACCUUAAGAAAUAUUUGCAUCUGCAGCUUCAUAUGGCCAUACAACAAAAAGCAUCGCAUAUGAUAACAAACCCCAGCUGCACCACAAAAGGAAUAUGAUCUUCCUCUCAACUUGUAUUUGCAGUUGUUACUGUAACAUCUGCAGACAGCAUACAUAAGCACUGAUUCGAAAAUUCUAAAGGAAAAAAAGUCCUUAUUCGAUAAUGCACCAAAUCCUAUCCGAAAACCAAGGGGGUGCCAUAUCCCUAGAUUAACAGAGCAUCUUUCUUUGUUCCAAAACAAAUUGCAAUUGGCUUUGGUAAAGUAGAAAGAUUACCAGAUACCGACUCUGUUCCAUUAUUCGACUGUCCUUUUAGUUCUGUCUCUCAACAUGGGAAAUACAAUAAGACAGUAAAAACAAAAGUUAGUGAUGCUAUUACAUAGUGAAAGAAAAUAAGACAUUCACAUAUUGAUAGCUAUUUACUGUCCUUUCUCAUCAUAAUCUUGGCCCAUAUAUAUAUAUAUAUAUAUUGAAUUUUGAAAGCAAUGAGAGAAAUAUACCUUUGGGGCGUCACUGCCAGAAGGGUGAGUGAGGGAUCUAAGAUGUUUGAGAGCAGAAAUUUUUAAGUAAUUUGUGCGAAAAAGUUGAAGAGCUUCGAACAGAGUGGAGUGGGUUGGCCUGGGCUAAAAUAAAGAGGAUGAACUCUAGAAAGUAGAAAAUGUUGUGUUCAACCAAACUCAAAAGUAAAGAAACCAUACAAUUAACAUAUAAAUAAGUUUUAUAUACCAAUGAUUACAUGUACGUUGUUUGAGAAGGUAAAUUAGCAACAUAUACAGUGAUCAAAAGAUUAACAGCAAUAAACUGCUCAUUAUUCAAAAUAUACAAGAAAGUUGUCAUUCACAUGAUCCAAAUGGUAGAGGACAAAACAGAAGGAAGCAAAUAUUAUAGCAGCAUAAGUUGAAUAAUUGCAGCAAGUAAACAAAUAGAAAGGCUAGCUAGAUUACACAAUCCAGUUCUAGGUCAGACUAACCAUGUUAGCCAUCCGCCCACCACCAUCACCGUCGGCUUCUUAUUAAAAAUGUAGAAUAGAAGACUCAAAAACUGGAAAUGAAAGUAGGUAACAUUGAGUUUUAAUAACCAAAAAGGGACACUGUUUAAGCAGCUCCACAACAGCAAUAAUACUUGGACGAUGAGCUGCAAAAACAGAAAAGAAAACACAAAUUAAACUAAAAAAAUAUAAAAUUUAACACUAAUCCAAGGAUUAAAUAUCAAAUAUAAAGUCAUUAGGAUUGGGACCUUUGCAUUGAGGAAUAUCUACUACAUUAUGAGUUCCCUCCUGAUAAAGCCCAAUCAGGGGGUUUUCCGAUGAGCCAAGAACGGCUAACUUUGCGUGACACCGCCAUCCCCACUAACACCAAACCAAGAUAAUAUCAAGAUCAAAACUAACCAAUACCAGAAAGAUUUUUUUAUUUAAAUUUUAAGAAAAGACCUAAACUUUACGAAAUUAAGGGGGAAAACAAAGUUAAGUAAAGCACCAAUUUGCAACUGUCAAAAGUGAAAUAUGAGACUGCAACUGCCUAGAAGAACUCCGUGGCCUCAUCGACGAUGACCGGAUGGUGGAGAUUGAACUGGUGCGUACACCUGGAGCACCUGAUUAUACACCGAACAUAGAACAAAAUUUAAAUCAAGUCGAACAAUAAUUGUGAGAAAAUAAACUAAAAGGGAUUUGAGCUGAGAGUUACGAUUCGAAGUGCGGCAAUGGAGGGUGCAGGUUAGCGGCGGCAGAGGAGGGGUUGAGCUUGGGCUCAGUGAGAGAGAAGGUAGUGCUAAAGGCACUAUUUGUCAGCCAAUCAUGUAAUAGGCACACCACUUUUCUAUAUAUGACAAAAAUUAGGAGUUCUCCAAACUAAAGCAUGAAAUUAGAUUCACCAGAGAAUUGGAAAUUGCACAUGAAAAAAAUAAUAUACAUCAUGCCAUUUGUGAUUUUGAAAGAAAAAAAGAAUACCUUCUUCAGGUCCGCUUUAGUAGGUGGAGGCUCUUGAUAGAAGAUUGGCAUUGGAGUCGUUUUACAAAUCAGUUUCUUCCUGAACAUCCUAAUGUCAGCUUCUAGAGUUUCCUGUAAAAGAACAGACAACAUUCAUAAUAAGAAAAUCUCUCUCUGCAAUCGUAGAAAUCCCUCGGGUUUCAGGAAGCAAAUGGAAAACGAAAUGCUUUUCUCCCGUAUCUCUCUCUCUCACCUCUGUCCCAUCUCUCUGUCUCCAAAUCGCAGAAAAGAAACCCUAAACAAAUCCCUGAAAUCCCUCGCCUAAAUCCUCCCACAUUUCUCUCGGACACCCCCCUCUUUCUCUCUGCAAACCCUAAACCAAAUCUCCUAAAUCCUAUCUUUGACACCCCACAUACAGCCAAGAUAUUAAAGCAAUCUCUAUAUAAUACUUUGGAACAAUGAAGAAAAAUGGUACUUACUUGUUCCUUGUCCAAAACCGUUGGUGCUGCCGCACAUUGUUAUCAAUUGUGGGUUGAUCAAAUCCUUCAUGGCUUAGACUGCAUGAAGAAUUAGAAACUAAAAGAUGAAUAUAUGCCGUAAAUCAUCAUAUAAAUGUAAGUGCAUUUAAAAAAAAAAAGGGAAUGACAAAAUUGAAUUCUAUUUCAUCAGUAUGUAACUGCAUGAAAAGUUACUUUGAAUGAAGACUCGAUCAAUUUCCCCAAAGUCAUUGUUAACUGAAAAUCAAUAUCAAACCCAUAAAUACCACAUUGAAUUUGACCAAGUUAAAGGAUAAAGGCACUCGCAUCAUCGUAUUACUCUUUGGGAAGAUCUUCUAAUAAUGGUUCUUCCUUUUUCUUGCUCUUCCUUAGAACUGCCAUAAAAACCCCAGAGAAGCAUACAAAUUCAGAAAAGAAAAGGUUCAAAACUGCCAUAAAAAAAAUCUAGAAAGCAUACAAAUUUAUCAGAAAGAAAAGUUCAAAUUACAAAUACCAAAUGAUGUGAGUAAGUAGUGAGAGGUUGUGUUAGGCACCUGAAACACGUUUUGGUUUCAAUUGAAAGGGCCAGAGACAACAUCCACAUUCUUUUUUCUUGGGUGAACUAACCAAAUCAUAUUAUAUACUAAAACGACAUAAAAAAUCAUUCACAAACUCACAACAAAAUAGAACAAAAAGAUUCACAAAAGAUUUGGGAGUUGAGACGCUAACAAAAACAUUUCUUUUCUAAACAAAUACACAACCGCUAAUCUGGGUUUGGUCAGUUUGACUAAAACGGUGCGCUAUUUUGCAUCUAAAUAUAGUAUAUCGCUUAAAUAAAAUUAAUAAAAAAUACACAUCCAAUGCUUUUAGUCUAAAGCUAGAAUUAGGAAUAACUGAGGAAGUUAAUGAAGGCAAAGCAGAGGGUAGGAAGCAGAACAUACCAAGAGACCAGUAGGCCAUCGGGGCCGGUCUGCCGAUGAACGCUGUGUACUGGUUGACAACGCCCAACGGAGUUGGCGCAGAAAAGAAGUAAAAGUCGAAACCACCCUCAAUGACCUUGUAGGUGAGAGAAGUCCCUCUGUAGAACACAUCCAUGCCAUUGCUGUUGAGCAGCAAAACGGAGUGCGCGUAAGCCUCGUUGCCCACAUUCCGGAGAUCCAUGUAAACUGGGUGGGACCCGUACAAAUCAGUGUUGAGAUUGAUCGCUGAGAAGUUAGUGGUGAAGAGGAUGUAUUUAUCGUUCGGGUAGAGCUUGAUCCCGUGCGGCUGAGAGUUCUCUUCGAGGCCGUACAAGGAGGAGUAUUUCGGCACUCGGGUGGAUAUCUUGAGGUCUAGUCCUUAAACACCAGUACUAGUCCAAUAAACCACUCCGCUUUUAUUGAUUUUCAAUUCAUGUUCAUUCGGGUCCCAAACAAGACUGAACGGCCCCAGAGCCGGGUUGUAGGUAUCUACAUAUGAUAUAAGUGCCCACGUGGCCAUCAUUGCGGUUGACACCUAACUUCAUACCCGGUAAAAAUGUGUAUCCAGGAUAAUCACUUCAGCCGAUCGAGGGUGAUUUGAGGUGUUUUCUAGCUGAAUUGGACUUCGACCCAAGUAUGAAAGUUGUUCCUCUUAUCGAGAUCUUCAUUCAUGUAAAAUUUGGGAAUUUUAGAAUUGUUGAAUUCUCCGGCGAGUCAGGGCUACCAGCCGCCACGUGUUUCGGCGCAUGGCCCUUUGGCCGCUGUCCCGUGGCGACUCGUGCGGUGAUGUAUGCAGGAAAACCUAAGGUUCCUCCUUAGGUUUUUCAAUGUACCAAACCCGAAUCCGCCGUCCUUUUUUCAAAAUUCUAACGUUUUCAUAGAGUUUUAUUAAACGACCUUUAAUUGUGUUUAGGUGCAUCGGUGGAGGUGACCUCAUUCUUGAUGGUUCGAGCGGCUUUCGGGCAAUGGAAAACUUGUGAGUGGACCCCUUCUAAACUUAUAUAUUGUUAUAAAAUAUUAGCCUAGCAUGCAUUCCAUAUUUCAUGAUUUGAAUAUGAUUUAUAAUAUGCUUUAUGGACUUUUAUAAUUAUGGUUUACGAAAUAGUUUGAUUUAUCGAAAUUACGUUUUAUUAGGUAUUGAAUUAUUGGAUUUGCAUAUAUGGAUUUCUAUGGUUUUCAAAUACGAUUUAUAUUACGGUUUUACGAACAUGAAUUAUUUUAUGGAUUUCAUGAAUACAAUUUAUCUUGGAUUUAUGAGAUGAGAAUUUGAGCUAGUGAGCUCCGGGUUUGAUAUAAGUUUUGAGAUAUGUUUUUGGUACUUAUCUAGUGGGUUAUCAUACGGCACAUCCGCACACCACGGGUAUAGAAUUGUAUGGCCAUAGGACACAGAUGAUGAGGAGGAGUAAGAUAUGAUAUAUUAUAUACCCCCAGUUCACUGUCGAAAGUAGUGUCAGAUAACUUCACUAGCCAUGGCUAGUGUCGGUAUGGAUGUUAUGCUAUUUCAUACAGCUUCACCUUCGGGUGAUAGACAGGUUAUUUAGCUUCACCUUCGGGGUGAUGGACAUGUACUACCUUCGGCCAACUAUGAUAGCCUUUGUUGAGUACUUCACUGACAAGAUUUACAAAUUUGCCUUCGGGCGACGGCAUUUUCAUUAUCAAGCAUUGGAUUUUACAUAUCUACCUUCUAAAUGGAUUUUCAUGGCAUGCUAGGGUUUUUCAUAAAGCCUAUAUGUAGUAUUAUAUAUGUUUUCAAAACAAGGGGUUAUUAUGUUCAUAAAUAAAAUGUUUUCCUAUUAUUAGUAUUAUUAAUAUAAACUUUGGUCCACUCACAUUUUCAGUUUUUGCGCCUCCACAGGAGUUAGGAUCGAGGCACAUGAUCCCGGCAUCAUGGCAUGUUGAUAUAGGUAUCCUUGAAUCUUCCCAGUGUAGAUAUCAUUCCCUUAUUCAUAUCUUUUUAUAGUGAUUCUUCCCUAUUAUUUCUAAUUAGUUGUAUGCUCUAAACACAUUCCUGCUUUGGUAUAAUCGUUAUAACUACUUAUCUUGUAAUUGUUUGCAUGUUUAAAAUGGUUUCGUCACCCUUGGGCGUGGGCUAGCACGUGCCUACCCUGGUAUGUUGGGAUAUCGGGGUUGGGGCAUGUCAAAGAUAGAGAGUGAAUUUCUAGCAGAUUCAAUGGUUGUCUACAUUUUAAAAAGAGCUUGCCGAAAAGAUUGAUUCAGAUGAAAUAACAAAGGAUUUCAAUUCCAUUAAGGAUUGAAGGGCACAACUUGAAUAGGUAUUUUUCUUUUUAUUUGUUAUGUUGUUAUGACAGGAUUGACGAUGUAUGUUUAUUUAUAUUGUAAGUUGCAACUUUAAAGGUUUUCUUUGUUAAAUCUAGUUGAAACUUGAUUCAUUUAGAGUUAAAUUUCUUACUUCAAAUUGUUGCUUUUAGGCUUAUUAUUGUGUAACUUUAUGCAAGCAACAAAAAAUUUUAACCAUUUGAUUUUGUACUAAUAAUUUUAGCUUAGCAUGCCACCAAAUAAUUCAUGGCUCCGCUAUAGAAAUCUUAGCAUGUGCAAUUUCAAAGUCUCGGUUGCCAAGUCUCCCCAGGCUGUUCAGCACCCAUUCUGAAUCUUGAUCGAGAUCUAGAGCAGUGCAAGUCAAGGAGUCUUCAUUCUCAUUUGAAACAAUGCUAAAAUUAUACCUCAGCUUGGACUCCUUGGGCAAAAUAUACCCAAAUGUAUUAGUACUACUUGUGGAUACACCACUAGUCCAAAAAAAUCACCUCUCCUUUCUUAAUCUUCAAUUGGUGAGGGUCCCAAUCAAGCGUGAAAGGCCCCGGCGCACGGUUGGCUUUAGUUUCCCAUGAUGAAAUCGACGAAACAUGGCCGUUUGUACGGUUGACACCCAAUUUCAUGCCCGGUAAAAAGGUGUCAACUGGUAAUCAAAGCUUUACGUUCACUUCUUCUUGUACAAAAUUUCCCGAAUCCAAAAGGAUAGCCACAACAGUAGCAAUACUGUACUUAUGUUGGUAGACCUAGUAGUUUGUGGAGCUGAGAAAAACGCAAUUGGAUUAGGAUCCCCCCCGCAUAAUUUUCAAGGUUUUAUUCCUGUCCAAGGCAAGAGUGCGUACAAAAUAGGGGCUUUACGGUUGCAAAUCCAAGCAAUGUUGCCAUCGGCCUUGUUGCUCUGGAUAGAUACGUAGCUGGUGCUUUUGGAACUGUCGUCGUGUACACAGGAACUGAAACUGAACUUCUCCGAUGCAGAGACCAAAGAACUUGAGGAGUUGAGAGUGUCUCCUGCUGGUUUCAGUGUGUCCCUUGCACUUGCAGCAUUGUGACAGGUCCACAGUCAGCAUGCAAAAAUGAUUAAGUUGAUUAUUGCCAUGAUUAAUUAAUGACCAUAACAUGAAGUUUAAUUUCUCCAUAUGAUGAGGAAGAAAGACAUGAAAUCCAUCACCAGAACAUGAUUAAGAAUUUAAUCAAGCAACGCGUCUUAGUUAAACCGUUACAAUCUUUGUACAAGGCAUUUAUAAAUUAAAAAAAAAGGGAAUAAAGUAAUAAUUACAAGUUUUACACAAGUGACCAUUUAUUACAAUGGUGGAAAGGUGUUAAGCUUUUGCAUGACGGUGUGAGUUCGAACCUCGUCGGUAGUUAAUCUAACUUAUAAUCUAAUAAAAUCUAUUUUUUGACCAAAAAAAAAUAAUUACAAGUUUUACUAAAAAUUUAGGGGUGUGAUAUCCACACACCCCUUUUUACUUCUCUCACACAUUUUUGAUUUCGACCGUCAAAUCGGAUGAGUUGAAGAAGAUCAACGGACAGAAAUUAACAAGGGAUGUGUGAGAAGUAAAAAGGGGUGUGUGGAUAGCACACCCCAAAAUUUACCGGAAGACUUGAUCACCCAUUUGUAUGCUGACAACGGUGACUAGAUUCACAACCUCUUUCCCACGUAAAUCACAUCAUCCAAUUUUAUUUUUCUUACAACAUAUCACGCAUCUGUCAUAUGCAAGACUUUUUUUUUUGUAUAACAUGAAAAAGAAGACUUUUUUGGAAUAUGGAGAGUGAAAUUGCAGCGGAAGCAUCCUAGAUUUUUGAUCGAAUAUUGAGUUUGGUUUGAUGACAGACUUCCUGGAUCAAACACACCCUAAAAAAUAUAUAUAAAAAACCAAUAAGGUCAUGUGAUACGACAUCAUUUCAAGAGGAAAGGUAAAAACAAUCUAGUUUCUAUACUAGGAAGAUUCACUCGAACAAAUUCUUGGAAACUAUGACUCAAACAAAAUUCUAGGAAUUCAGUAUUUUUAACAAAUGAUAAGCGUUUAAGAUAUAUUCUUUAUAAUAUUAGAGAAAUCGAACGGUUGAUGUAUAACUCGCAAAGUGGUUGUAGCUCAAGUAAUUUUACUCCCCAAUUUUACAUAAAACAUAAAAUAAAAACAAAUCCUAAUUUACAUGGUAAUUUUUUUUCAUAGCUAGGGACAACUUCGACUAUGGUAAUGCAAUUAAUAUACACUAGUUUUGGAUGGAGAAGUUUCAAGAUUGAGUAUGGGAUGGGGAGGGGCGAGAGACUUGGAUGGAGAGGUGAGGUUUUAUGAGUUAAACAGUGAUGCAAGGAUGUAUUACUUAAAACUUUAGAGACCGUAUGUUGGGCUAUAUAUAAUAUACGUUCCAUGGAUAAUUGUUUAACUCAUAAACGUUUUGAGUGUUUCUAACAUAUGCUUAUCAAAAGCCUUCUCGUUCCAUCAAACAAUACGAAAAUUUUCAAUUGAAUGAAAGACAUACUAUUUUAUAUAUCACAGUACUUCAUGGAUCAUCAUCAUCACAUAUCCUUAAUUCAAAGGUAAUAAAUGAGCAUCUAGUUUUAUUUUAAUUUUAUUUUAUAUAGGGACUACAGAAGCAAGCACCCUCUGUAAAUUAAACUCUAAAACUUCUCAAGUAUCUUGAAAGGUGCCAAAAGCCAUCAGCCAACUCCAGUUGAUGCAUAACCUCCUACAUUUACAAAAACAGCGUCGCCGUUAAUUUAUUGACUUCUUCCCAGGACACAUACCAAUUUGCGAAAGUGGUUUGACUGAUGCUAAUUAGUCGAGUAAAGUACAGUCUUUUCAAUUAAGCAGAUGCAAAACACUUAGUUGAGGCACUACAAAUAUGAUUUUUACCUUUAAUUAACGCGCUUCAAAAUCUGAACUGGACAUGUAGUUUGCUGAAGCAACAGUUUCAAGUUGCUGAUUCCCACUUAUACCAGCCUCCACCGUCCUCCUUCCAACAAAAAAUGCUGGCUUUGUUGGUGAUGCUAAUCGAAAGCUUUCAUUUGUCAACAUAGAUAUGACAUCUGACAUGGUAGGGCGAUCUGCUGCAUUUUCUUCUACGCAAAGCAGACCGACAUGGAUGCAUCUUAACAGUUGCUCUUUAAUAAACGAAUUUCCUAAUGUUGGAUCCGUUAAUUCUAGCCCUGCACCUUUUUUCCAUAACUCCCAUGCCUGAAGAACAAGGAUUGCAUUUCAUUCUAAAGAAGAAAAAUAUGAUUAUAAAUUUUAAGAGAGAGAUUUGUUUGUCAUACAUAUCCUACUAAAUUGAGUGCGCGAUCGUCAUUGUAAAAGCUGUUGUUUUUCCUUCCACUUAUGAUUUCAAGCAUCAAUACCCCGAAACUGUAGACAUCAGACUUUACAGAAAUAAUUCCCCCCACGGACUCUGGAGGCAUGUAACCACUGCACGAAAUGAAAAAGAAAAUUAGUCAGUAUACUUAUCUGGAAAAAUGCGUGUUUAGCAGUCAAAAGGGGAGGACCACGUCAAUGUGAUGCAGAAAUACUUACAGUGUCCCCACAACCUUUCUAGUGUUUGCUUCCAAUUCAUUUUGGGUGAAAAUCCUUGCCAUACCAAAAUCUGAAAUUUUUGGGUUCAUGUUUUCAUCAAGUAGUAUGUUACUAGCUUUUACAUCUCUAUGAAUUACUUUCUUUCUUGAGUAUUUGUGCAGAUAAAGCAACCCUUGAGCAAUUCCUUCGAGAAUGCUAAAACGCUUCUUCCAAUCUAGUAGUAGACCUCUGAUUGGAUCUGUCCAAUAUGUAGAGUUAAGUAGGACUAAUAUUAAUUAAUAGUAGUACUCUAUGAACUUUGACAGUAAAAUAAAAAUCAGAUAGUAAAUUUAACAAAUGAAAUCAAGUAUCUUGGUUCCUCACCAAAUAAAAAGUGGUCCAAACUUUUGUUCUGCAGAUACUCAUAUAUCAACAUCAUUUCUUCACCAUGAAUGCAAAAUCCGAAAAGGUGAACCAGGUUUGUAUGUUUGAGUUCAUAUAUAAGUAUCAGUUCAUUCUUGAAUUCUGAUGUUCCUUGCCCUGAACAUUUCGAAAGCCUCUUCACAGCUAUUUCUUGUCCCGUCGCCAAUUUCCCCUGAAUUGAUAAUCCAUAUCAUGUUUUUGCUGUCAUCUUUAGGCAAAUGAAGCUAAUUCCAUUUUUUUUCUUACAGCUUUUGAAUUAGAAGCAGAAAUAUUUUUUUUUCAAAAUGUUACCUUAUAAACCGGUCCAAACCCUCCUUGUCCUAGCUUGUUUUCUUCAGCGAAGUUUCUUGUGGCAGCCACGAUGGAUGAAUAGCUAAAAACGCUAAAAUCAUGAUGUCGCUUAGAUUUCAUGAAGAUAAGCAUUUCGUUCUCAAUCUCUGGCCAGUUCUCACCUAUACAGAUCAAUUAUAAGAAAUUAAAGUUUCAAUGGAGACAACAAUUGUCAAAGAUGUGAUUAAUAAUCCUGUCUUACUGGUGCACAUGAUUUAAAGAAAUAUACCAGCUGAUGCAAGGGCUGAUCUUCUUCGUCGGAGUAGAUAGUACGCGGUGCAAAGCACUAGAGCAGCAGCUAUAGAAAUGCCAAUCCAAACCCAUUUAUCUGCUGCAUCAUAAACAAUUAGCUAGCAACAUAUGCAAUAAGUGUAACACACACGCACAUGUACGCAUUAAUUGUCUUCAAUUUUUGGAUGAACUAGGUCUUGCAGGUUUCUUCCGGAAAACGAAGAAAAAUUCGAGACAGAGAGCAGAACUUAAGACAACAAUAACAAAGAUAGAGGUACCUAAUAAUACUGAUUCCACGCGUGUCACAGAUUUCCGGCUCAAAUCGGGUUUGCAGCCUCGGUAUAUAUCCUUCGGAUCAAGAAAAGAAAACCCUUUUGGGCAUUCGCAGGUUGGCCUUUUAUCUGGUUUGAGCAUACAGGUACUGUUGUAACCGCAAACACCAACGCCCAGUCGUAGGCAAAUAUCAUCCGGCAUAUACACCAGAGGACUAAUCCAACUUGCAUUUCCCGUGAAGUUUUUCGGGUGAGAAUAUAAAGCGAAAAUCCCAUCAAAAUCAAGAGUUGCCCUUAUGUAGUUGUCCCUCACCGACACUCCCUCUGUCCCCUUAAGAGGAACUCUUCCAUCAUUUUCUCUUAGAACAAACAUGUCCCCUGAGCUGCUGAACACCAAUCGUUUGCCUUGACUACCUGGCACGUUCCCUGAGGUGGUCUUCGUGGAGAAGUAAGGGAUGUUGGCAUUAUCUGUUGUGACGGAAAUGAGCACGAGGUUUCCAUCACCUUGCAAGCUCAGCUGGAACCGCCCUUUUGUGUAGUUAGUCUCCGAUUGUCUACACGAAAGCGUCCCGUUUCUCUCAAUUGUCUGUCCAGGCAAAACGGUGUCUGUAGGACUGCUGAAGGUCUCCCACAAGCUCCCCGAGUUUUGGUGUUGAAGGACAAAGUUUCCGGUGUCAUUCAUGACCCCGUUCGCAACAGUCCCCAAGGUUAUUUCGGAUUUCCAUAUCUCUCCACCCUGAGGAUUGUUAAGAACUAGUCCACUGUUGGCAGUCAAGUUCAGAACUGAUCCCCCAGGUGCAACCAUGGGGUUGUUACCGUCAUAUGCAUACCAAACUACGGUUUUGUCUGGGAUUUUCGCAUACCAUAUCGAAAGCAAGAAACGAUCAUUGUUUCCGAGGGGCGAAAAUCCAAACGCGAAAUCACCGGAUGGAGAAAGCCAUGAU